This 61980-nucleotide long non-coding RNA is filed under the name Phoenix dactylifera (date palm). RNAcentral's name for it is "long non-coding RNA (PDAC_LNC004174)". Lineage: Eukaryota; Viridiplantae; Streptophyta; Magnoliopsida; Arecales; Arecaceae. The record is from RNAcentral.
CUUGACCUACAUGGACAUGACACAAGAAUAUAAUUCUUUGGUCUUUUGCUGCAUAGUUCAUGAUACUUAACCCAUCAAUAGGGGUUGAGGAAACAAUCUUUAUCCAUGAUUCCUCUGAACAAAUGAUAUGUUCUGGUCUAAAUGGACCGUUGAAUGAUUGUGCAAUGGCUUUGAAUGGUGUAACAACGACCUAUAUAUCAUCAUUACAUCACCAGGCAUAAUAUAUUAUAGAUGUUAAUUUUUUUUUCAUUGAUCAUUCUCAAACUCUAAUCAAUUCAUAAUAAACUAAAUUAGUGCCACCAUGAGUUUUGACUUACGAAGUGUGCAAACUUAUUUGGAUUUUGACCUUUUUAUAUUUUGUUUAAUAAAAUGAAAGCAAAAUAUGUUCUUCCUAUUUAUGCAUUUUAACACAAAAUCUCUGUUUCGAGUCCAACCUCCAUCCCCACUAAACACACACACACACACACACACAAAGGAAAACUUUUGAAGGUGAAUGCACCUUAACCUACUUUGGUCUAAGACACUCUACCAUCAACAGGGGUUUAGGAAACAAAUCUUCAUCCAUGAUUCCUCUAAAAGAAAUGAUACGUGUUGGUCUAUAUGGACUGUCGAGUGUUUGUCAAAUGGCUUUGAAUGGUAUAAUGAUGACUUGUGUAUAAUCAUUACAUCACCAGGCAUAAUAUAUUGCAGAUAAUAUUUCAUUUUUAAAUAUUAUUUGUUAAAUUUUAAUCAAUUCUUUAAUAAAUUAAAUUAGUAUCAUCUUGAGUUUGGACUUAUGAAGUGUGUCAACAUCUUUGGAUUUUGACUUUUUUAUUUUUAUGUUAAAUAAAAUGAAAGCAAAAUAUGUUCAUCCUAAUCACACAUUUUAACACAAAAUCUGACUCUGCUGAAGUUAGAAGGUAAAUAUAUCGAAAUUCAGAAACUCUAUUUAUAGGGUUUAAAAUCAAGUUUUAUAAUAAGCAGAUGUCUGGUUGUCAGUUUCAUGGGAGUUGCUUUUGUGACACCUGAAACUUAAUCGAAUCGGCAAAGUUUCAUCCCCCCCCCCUCUUCCCACCAAACCACCACCAGAAAGUCAUAACGAAAAGAGGUUUUGCAGAUUAAAUUUAAGAAAUGUUAUUUGAUUUCAUGGUUUUGGCGAUAGGUAUCAUACCUGCUAUUAUGUUGAAAAGGAUGAAGUGUUUUGUGGUUAAAACAGGAGAGGGUUUUAGGGUGUUAGUUCCUGUAUUCUGAAAAAAAUCCCAAAAAAGGAGAUAAUUCAAGGGAUGGAAAAAAGGGGAGAGAAGAUAAUAUUUCAUGGAUACUGUAAAUCCAUGCUCCACAUGGCCUCUUAAACAAGGCCCAUCUACCCAUGAUUGUGUUCUGCCCAACCAUCUUGGGGUUAUGCUAUAGAAUGUCUUUUGCAUGUAGUGAAAGCCUAAGAUAUGAGACAUAUAAGUGACUGGAACAUGGAUUGGCUUUGACGAGCUACUAAAUAAACGGUGUGCACAUUCUUUUGCAUCACUUAAAAAGAUUAAUAGGCAUAGGCUUGGGGUGCUGCAAUGCUCCAACAUACGUGAUGGCUGCUGGUUGAAGGGACUAGAAUGCUAGAGAUGUGAAUAUAAGGCACUGUAGCACUGUGGUUUAUACCUAGUUGUCUUCUUGUAAGUUUCUGAACAAUAAGAAUGAAAAUGUAUGUAUGUCACGAUUUGGGUGGCUAACUAUGUGUUGACAUAUGCAUGCUGACAUGCAGAACUUCCUUUCUUUAAUUAUGGUAUAUAGGCUAGAUCUAGGUAUUGGCUUGUGCAUUUCUGACAAUAUAAGAACUUUAUAUGAAUGGUAUAUAUAGUUAGUCUGUGCUUAAUUAGUUUUUGCCUAUGCUUAUGUUGAUCGUUUCUGUGUACUCCAUUCAUAUUUAGUGCGUAGGUAACUGCAUUUCUUGAUACUGAUCAGUCUGCUAUCUCUUGUGACAGAGGCAUGUUGCAGAUUUCUACAUAUCUGACCCCAAUACUGGGACAAGAUUUCUUGUAAGAGCAGGAAAUGGAGCCAAAGUCACUUCUUUUGUUAAACUUGCAACCGUUUUAAAUGUAAACAAGGAAGACAAAGAGCUAUCUCCUGACUUCGUAAGCUGGCUGACAGAGCGUAAUAUUUCCAGUGAUGAUCACGGGAUGCGCCUUGAGGAGGGGUAAGACAAUCUAUUUACAAAAGACUUAUCAUGAUAGGAUUAUGAAAACUGUGCUCCCAUGAGUAUUGUUCUUUAACAUUACAUGUGUUCAUGGUAACUCUUUUCAUAUCUUGAGUAAUGUUGGUGAAACUUUAAUUAGAGUAUUAAGUACCAUGAAAAUCCCUUCUUCAAAGCUUGGAAUGGGUGACAAACGCUGUUAACAUGAUGGACAUCUUGUCAGCGUCAGGUGGUUAACUGAAACUGUAAGAUGUUUACUUAUGGGCAGAAGAAUUGGAACAUUCUGGUUGAAAGAAAUUCUGUUUAUUCUUGCCUUAAUACAGAAACUUGCAACAAUAUGGUAACAGACUAACAGUUAAGUCAAAAUAUCUUGUUGAUUGUACAAUACUAUUGCAAAUGGUUGCAUCUAAAAAAUAGUAGAUUUGGGUCCUUUUUGGGUUUGAAUCUUGAUUAAUCAAUGAACAAUAAAUCAAUAUGCAAUUUUGACAUAACAUUAACCAAAGCACAGCUACACCAUGAUAUUUAUUUGAUCAAUUAUAGUUUUGCAAAUACAUACCUCAAAUCCUUUGCCUAAAAUUCUUUUGCUUAUGAUGUAUAUUCUAUGUAUUGCUAUUUAUAGUUAUAAAUAGUAUAUUUAACUGUACAUAUGGUGCCAUUUGUAGCCUUCUGCUUUUGUUGUUAAGAUCCCUUCCUAUGACCAUCUUGUUGUAUCAGUGCCUAAUCAUAAAUUGAUGUCCUCUUUUUCAAUCUCUCUCUCUCUCUCUCUCUCUCUUGACAACCAGCUAAGGCGAAAAAUAAAAUAUAUGAUGUUUGUUAUUAGAGAUAGUCUUGUAUAUGUGCUUCUUGCAUCAUAUGACAUGUAUGAUACUGUGCACAAAUUGGCAUGCACUAGCACAGAGAAAUAGACAAAACUAUUGGAAGAUGCUUCAGAGGAAUGUUAAGAUGAGCUGAGAAAACUCCUUUUUGAUUCUAGGUCUCUUUUAAUUUAUUUGUAGUGGCAAUAGGUGAUCGUGCUUUCAAUAGUGAAAAAAAAAUACUAUUAAUCUUUUGAAGCAGACUUGCAACUUAAUUAUUGCAUUAUAAAAUUUCUUUUUUUUUUGAUUUUAUUGGGUUAGUAUAAAAAAUAUUACAUAAUAUGUUAUCAAUUGCCAUCAUCUUAAUUAUCAUGAUUUAUAUUUUCCUUGAUCUUGGGCAUUUCCUUUGAUGGCGGCACAUUGUAGAUCUAGAAAUGACAUUUUUUGAGCUCGUGAAUUAAGGAAAUUAAGUUCAAAUGAUUAAAGCUUUAGCUAAUAAUGUGAUUGAUGUUUAUUUUUGCCGAACUGCUUGUCGCCUAUUUAGAAAGAUUGGUCAAAUUAGGCCUAGAUUUAGAGUUUUAGAAAAAUCAAUUUUGAAUUGUUGAACUGGAUGGUUUAAGCAGUCUAAUUGGUCGAAUCUAGUUUGGAGCUGUUACUCACAUUAUGUAACAAGAGAGCAAAUGGCCCCACCCCCCCUUUGCAGCAAACCUUCACCUAUAAAGAGUGCAUGCAGCCUUCCUUCUUAUGAGAAGGAGAGUUAUGCUGAAAUGCUGAGACUGUUCAUGGCAAAGGGAUGAAGCUCUUGACACAAAACAAAGGCCAGGGAACACUCAUGUCAGAAAGGAUGAAAGCAAAGGCUUAUAACUUGAGAGAUACGAGAUUAAAGCCAUGUGAGAUUGCUCACAUUGAAGUAGAGCAUGAAAGAAAAAGCAUAGAGAGAGUUUGAGCAAUGGGCAAAGAGGGAAAUCCCUUAAUACAAGGUGGUAAACCAUCACAGUAUCACCCCAUUCCUUCUCUCUUCAUCCUACUUCACCUCUCUCCACCAUAGUCACCUCUUUUCUUUGUUUGUAUUCCAUAUUAUCAGAAGCAACUGCCUUCUCUCUCUCUCUCUCUCUCUGCGUGUGUGUGUGUGUGUGUGUGUUAUGCACUCACUAUAAUAACAAGCCCAUGGGUUUAAUGUAAAAAGGGCGUAAAGAGGAAGGAAAAUGAGAAUGUCAUUCUCAGGUCCCAGCCAUAUCAAAAGAGAAGAAAGGAGGGUGCAUGCAUGGUUUCUUAGGUCAUGUUGAUGCCUUCAUAAAAUUGAUGUAGACUCCAUUGGACAAUGUUGGGUGUCUGCCAUUUGUUUCUUGCCCCCACCUCAUGUCCCUGGAUGUUCAUGGUCAUUUCACUCACUGACAACCAUGAUCACGUCGGAACACUACAUGUAAAGAUAUGAACAGGGAAUGAUCAUGCUGAGCUAUGAAUCAAUCCUUCUAAGUUGAGACUAGCUAUGUUGAGUUGUGACAUUCUAAAAGCCAUGACAUUAAUUGUUGCGAUCACUUCUCUCCUUGGUAGUGUUUUGCCAUCUUGUGAUCUGUAUCACCGAACUUUUACUAGAUUUACUGUAUCAUCACCAAGCUAUGAUUCCAGUCUACCAUGAUGAUCACAUUGUUGUGGAUUUGGAGGAAGAAAAUGUUCAUGCAUAUACAAUGUUGACCUCCUCAUCUUAUUAAGUUAGACCAAGUUGAGACCCAUCUUCUUGAGCUAUGACCCAUUUCACUAAAUUAUAUAUGUCACUAGUUUGGGUUAAAGUUUAUUCAUUUAAUUAUUAAUAUCAUCUUAUUGCACUGUAUUGUACCAGCGUCUCCUAGUCAAGUUAUGAUGAUGUUUUCGAGUGACCAAUAUGUCUUGGUCGCAUGACUUUUAAAAGUUGUAACUGCUUCCAUGUAAUAUCUUGGUUUGCCUGGAUUAUGGCUAGUUUGCUAUAAAGCUUAUUGUAUAUCAUAAUACAUGUGCGCUCGCUUGGGAUUUUAUCUCUUUGUGCAUGUUCACACUAUUACAAUAGCCAUUUGGUAAGAAAGGGUUAGUGUUCUGACCAAUUAAUUAGAGGUUAAAGGAUGUAAUUGAUUGUGUUUUAUCAAUACCAUAGGACAUAGUUCACCCAUAUUUCCAUAUAACUAAUUCAAUAAAAGGACUUAUAAUAUUAGGAUGUCAAUCAAUUGGGUUGGGCCAAGGCCUAAUCUCGAUCAAGGUUUAAAUCCUUGAGCUCAAAUCAUGCCCAACCGAAACUCAUCUAAAGCUGUCAGGCUUGAUCCAACCAUGGGGUAGGGUAGGUUGUUCUAAAUUUGAGCCCAAGCCAAAUUUCACCUGUAAAAGCCAUAGCUUGGCUUAGAUUUGUUCAAACUUCAUAGGAAUCAGGCUUAUUGGGCUUUAGUGCUUAAAUGUUGGGCCUAGGCUGGGUUUUCAUGGGUCAGGCCACUCUACCACUCAGUCCAGGUUGACCGAUCAAUGAUCAUACGAACCACAUUAUUAGACAAUUUGAUUCAAGGUUCAAAACCUAAUUUUGGUUUUGACCAAAACUGACCGAAAUCAAGUUUUGGUGGUCAGCUUCAGUUUGGUUCUGGUUAUAACUGAUCUGUUUUAGGUGAAACUUUAAUCUUAAUUUAAUUCACACAUAUUGGUAUAAUUACCAACUCCUAUAAAUUGUUUCUUUUUUUUCCGCAUUCUAGGUGCAUGUUGGGAAAUUACAUAAUAUACUAGUACGUAGUAGGACUGGAAUCUUGGACACCCCACACGCCAUGGGGUCUUUCUAUUAAUGGAUAUACAUUAGGCAUUUAAGAAACAAAGCUUUGAUUUUUUUUUCUCUCCUGACAUGCCACUUCACAAACCAACACAAGAGCAUUCAUUCGUCACAAUUUGUGGUUCCCUCUUCUUCUACUGAAAUACAAACUCCCUUGGUGGGUAGUAAGUGAAUCCCCUUAUGCGGUACUACAUGAGAUGAAUGAAGUUGAUGCUUCAGCUUCCAUUCUUAAUGCAUUAGUUCUCUUAGUCCCCUCUUUUCCUAAAAAAUGCUAAGCAAUAGAUAGGCAUAUAGGAGUCAUAUUAUGAAAAGAAAAAAUGUAUUUUUGGAAUUAACUAUCAUAAAAAUAUAAAAUAAUAUGUAAAACCUAUCAUUACUAUUAUUGAGGGCUCAACACUUUAUAGUUGUUUGACUUGUCAUGAAUUAUUUCCCCCUCUCACCAAAUCUAUUGGUGCCCACCUAUUGACCCGCCGUGAAACUCCUUAAGAAAAAUGAAGCUCUCUCCAUGAGAGAGACUGCAAUAUUCUAAAAUCCUCUUGCUGUGUGGGUUUUCAAUACCAACUUUCAGCAUGAUUUCGAUUACUAUCAUAUGCAAUUGCAUGUGCCAAAUAUUAGUUCUAUGUGGUGCCUAAUAUGAAAGUGUCUCUAUGCACUAUUUGCUCAUUGUCAUUGACUAAGUGUUAUUUUAAAUGGAUUUAAGUGCCAUUUGCCAUAGCAUGCAUGAUAUGUACUGUGCCAAUGCCUUAUUGGCACAUGGCGUUGGCAAGAUACAGGCUACAUGUUAGCUUUUGGUAUGCUAUUGUGCCUAUAUAUGCCAAGUGUUGGUAGGCCUGAUGAGCUGCACUACAUACCAUGCCAUUGCUACAUUAGCAUGCCAUUGGCAAAUGAUACUUAAAUCCUUGGUUCAAUAUAUAUUAUUUACAAUAUUUUUUCUUUACUCCAAUUUUCCUUUAUACAAUGUCUCAUCAAAGUAAUUCAUCGUUUAUGGUUGACAAAUGUGAAAGCUUCUUUGUUUGAGUAUUAAUAAUUGAUUCAUCUAUGUCAAAGAAUAUAUGAGAUACAUUUAGGGAUUCCCAUCCUAAUUACAAUAUUUUUCCUUAACUACACCAAUUUUCCUUUAUACAAUGUCUCAUCGAAGCAAUUCAUCAUUUAUGGUUGACAAAUGUGAAAGCCUCUUUAUUUGAGUAUUAAUAAUUGAUUCAUCUAUGUCAAGCUAUUCUAGAAGACCAUAAUAUAUGAGAUACAUUUAGGGAUUCCCAUCCUAAUGGUACCAUACUGUUUUGAUGGGAGAAUAGUACCAAGACGGCCCACGGGACACCGGUUCGCUCAUGAACCGGAAUGUCCUGGUACCAGUUAGGACUAGCUAGUUUGUUAGCCGGUCGCCCAUACCAACAGGGACAGCCAAAACGACUCUAUUGGCUUUCUUUUGCCUUGUGGGUUUAGUCAUUAGAGGUAACUUAGAGAGGAAAAAAGAGAAAAUUGAAGAAAAUUUAGAGUAAAAAUUAAAAAAAGAACCUGCAAGAAGGGGUCUCCUAGUAUUGUAUCUGUUUAAGAGGCUCAAAAACUUUAUUUAAGAGGCUAAAAAAAUUAAUAAAAAAUCAUUAGAUCUCAUAAAAGUCCUGGACAAGAAAAAAAGGGGUUUGCAAGCAUCUUGAUCUGAUGAAGUAUUGGGAUGCUCAUUCAUCUUGCUUAUCGGGAUGGGAGUGUCCUGAUAUUAAGCCAACUGGGACCAGAUUGGGACAGGGGUCUGUAGAUCUUAUAUCCUUGCAUGUAGCUAUCAGAUGUGGCGGUUCUUGCGUUGCUCUUUUGUUACUCUUUUGAUUGAUGCUCACAACUUGCCAAUGCAAGUGACAUACGUUAUCUAGUAUACUGGAAUUGACAAAGUUAUCAAGUUAUGUUUUGGAGCUAAGGACUCACGGCCGUAAGAGUGAAUGGUUAGGUACUCAAAAUGGAUCCUAACUGUAGGAAGCCCAAGUUCUGGAAACUCAGUAUUUUGAAUAGAGCGAGCUUCCUCCUUUUGACAGUUUUUCAUGAAUAUAUAAUGCUGCCAAUGAUACUUUAUAUUGCGUUUUUGGUAAUAACCAUCUCAACUCUCUAAAUUGUUACUAACUAAUUUUCUUGUCAACCAAAAUGGAUGAUAUUUUCUUUCCUUGUUCAGUUCUUGGUUUUCGUCCCAUUACUUGCCCACAAAACUGCCUUGACCAAGACAAGUGAUGAGAGACUACUUACUGGCUUAUGAUUGCUGCUUAUUGCAUUACACGGCAGGGCGGCAUUUGUACAAGUGAAAUGCUUUAUCCAUAGGAAUUGACAUUUAUAUAAACCCAAGAAAAUGGAAAAAAUUGAGCUUUUGGCCUUACUUGCUUAUGGUUUUUUUUAAGUACUGCUAUGUGAAGAUUCUUCCAGAAAACCAUUACAUUUCUAAAUUCUGGUGACAGUCGUCCCCUAAAACUUGAAACAGCAAGAACAUAAAUAUCAAUAAAUACACUUAACUAACCUAGCUGAGUCAAAUCUGUUUCUCUACAUAUUGCAAUUAUCUGCCCUUCUUUUUCUGUUUCUUUCUGGUUAUUGAUUGGACGUUAUAUCCCCACAUUCUUUCUGAUUAGCAAUAAACUUUGACUUUUAGUUUUUGUCUUUCUAGGUUUAAUGAUAAUUGCACGAACUUAUUACUUCUCAUUUGGUAUGACUUGAUAACCUUUUGUUGCAAAUAUCAACAAAAGUUCUCUUUCCGAAGAUAGGAUAAUAUUAAUUGCAUCUCCAGUAUUCUUGGUUGCGUUUGCUGACUCUCAAUUUGCAAGCAGUUUUUGCAGUAGAAAUGUUGUGUUUCAUAUGAUUAUCUUGAUCAUUUUGUUUAUCUUAAAUUGAUGUGACAGUUUUAUCAAAGAGGGGAAUACCGCAAGUGUGAUAGGCAUUCUCAGGAAGCAUGAAAAUCUGAUUAUUAUUGACCCACCUGCGGAUGCUAUUUCGACUGGUUGCCAAUGGGGAAGAUGCUUUGUUCCCGUGUUUGUCGAAGGCCUCAUUCUGAUUGGAGAUGGAGGUCCAGAUGAGGUGAUCUAUCAUGUAUAGAUAUUGCUAGGUGAAUGCGGUAGUUUCAAAUUGCUAGGAGAAAGCAGCUUUGUUUGUUCUGUAAAUAUGUUGUGUAUACGGGGAGUGGGAGGUGGAAAAACACUAGAAAGGGAGUGGAUAAGUAUCAAUGCCCCAGAUUCAAUUUAUUGAGGAUCAAAUAAUGAGUUAUAUAGUUGCUUUCUGUUUUCUUUUAUAAAUGCUGCCGUUCGGUCAUGAUAUAACGGGGAAUGUAAAUGUACAUAUUUUGUUCUUCCUCAUUGUAUUAGACCAAUGUGUUUACGUGGUUAUCUUUGCUUUCCUUUCAUCAUUUUUUCUCCCCAGUUGAAUGGAGAGAAUGGGUAGGACCACCUUAUGUCAAUAUUCUCAUUCAUACUAAAUCUGCCGAAACUGUAACCUGGUGGAUGUUUCUCUGUUUGUUGUUGGCGUCUCCAAUUUGAGAAAUCUAGAUUGGCAUGCAAACAAAGACAGCAUGAAAUGAAAUGAGAAGAUCAUUUGCUAUUGUUUUUGAUGUUCAAGCAGUGCAAAUGCCCGAUUCUGUUCAUGCUAGAGUGCUUAUCCUCAUGGAGGACGCAGAACAGAAAGGGCCCCAUCUGAUGUGAAAGCUGUGUUCUUUUUGCUUCAUUCAUGCACGUCGGUUCUUGUACACUGCUCAUUGCACCACUGAGGACCCAUUCCCGUUAUUGGUAAACCUUUCCCUUGUGAACAUUGGUCUUCUCCUUGGGGGUGUGUGUGAUGGUCUUCAGAAGCCAUCCGUAGUCAACAUAAUUUUUGGUUUCUAUUAACACGAUAUGUCUCGACACUAGUUGCAGAAGUGUGGAUAUUUUUUCAAUUUCUGUAAUCUUUAAUCAGGCCUCUGUUAAACGGUAUCUCAACUCUUAAUCUCGCACACUCGAUCCAACCAUAUGAACAUGUCAUCGCUAGUAUACCUUACCAAUCCGAAUCCCUCUCUCUACGUCUUCCAAACACUAAUUCUAAAUCUUUUCCAGCUUUUUUUAUUUGACAGCCUGGGACCAUUUGCUUACAAUGUCUCAUCUAUAACAGUCAAAAUUUGAUUAGAAUUGUCCGAUAUCUAAAAUCUUUAGGUUGAGCGUGCAUUUGGACAUGCAUUAUAUAACCCGGCAGUAUGAAGGGUAUGAUAUGCAUCCGGUGUCAUGGAAACUAUGUAUUGGAGGAUUCGAUCUUGUAUUCUGUUCGCAAAUCUUGCUAUUUUCUUACUUGGAGCAUCCGUUCUUAGCCACUUUAAUGCUGUGAUCAUUUGCUCCGACAGCUGAUGGCCAAGAUUAAGCAGACAAAACCUUUGUUACCAACUGCACCCUAGAACUGAAGGCUGUGAUCUUUGAUUUAUUGGUUUGCUACAUCUUUCGAACACGAUUUCAUCAGAUAUGCUAAACAUACUAGAGCUGAGUGUGCUGCAUUUUUUUUUUUUCGCUGAGAAGGCAAGAGCCUAAUCACAUUAAUAACUCUCUUAAAAAGAACAGAAUUUACAUCAGUUCAUACUCUAAUUGAUGAGGAAAAUUAUCAACCCCAAACCUGUAACCAUCCAUAGAAAUCGAAGUCAGAAUGAGGCAUGGUCGGAGGAAGUUUAGGCUUACAGAUUAUUUUCUUCUUUUUUAUUUUCCUGGAGAAGAGACCAAUAACUUCCAAUGGAACACUGCAAAAGGUUUUAGACGUCUCCACCUACACCUGGCAUCAGGCGCAGGACGCAGUGCAUGUGAUUAAAGAAUAUUAUAAAGAUGCUUAACAGGCAACCUGUUACAGGGUACGUUACAUGUGGAAGAAGAAUUUGAUUUUAGUUGGCACCUUUGUCCCAAAUUACACUUGUCAAAAAGUAUUCAUCGAAUGGUAAUGAUUACGGCAGCUUCUUUUUAACAUUAACUUUGUGAAAGCUCAUGUCUUCCAAAUAAAAACCCUUUCAGAACAACCAAAGGGAACAGGAAUAGAUGAGCUAAGAAAAACGAGCUCCAAGGAGCUAGCGUAGCUGGGUUGAGGAUUUAGCUCAGAAAGAGUGGCCUAAUAGUUCAGCUCCAUGACAUCAAACUAACCAACCAUGUUUUAAACCAACCAAACACAAAAUAUUGGCGUGAAAGAUAGCUCGAGCCUCACAUUCUGCAUGAGGAUGUGAAACCGUUCAGCAUUCACAAUAUAUCUAAUUUCUCAAGCUGACUGAUAUGGGAAAAGAGCUCCGAAUAUGAGAUAUAACCCUAAUCCAGUUGGGCCAGUCACUUCAGAUCCUUUGAAUCUAAAAAAAGCAUGAUAGAUGGCAAACAGGAAGGGUUAAUAAUUUGAUGCAAUAAUUGCACAUAAUUGUUUUAGAUUUUCUGCUGUUUCCCUUAAAAAUUGGGACAUAAAUUCCGUUGUCAUGCAAUGACACUUCCAUCUUAAAGAAUUUCAGAAAGGAAAAGGCUAUAAAUCACUCACUGCUGAUCGCCACUCAGUUCACAGGGUAUGCGGAAGUCUCCGAUUGGCUGAGUGCAGGUGGAGCCCGACUGACACCACUGACCCACCAACCAUGUUUAGCCCCAAUCCCUCACUACCACAUCCCAGGUGAAAUGGGCAGUGAUCAUUAGCCCGUGAGUAGAGGAGCAUUCUUUGAGAAACCCAAGGCAACUCAAUACUCUAUAAAGAUGGUAUCGCUUGUGUGUAGUAAAUUAAAACCCUACAAGGCACAAAUGGACGAUAUUAAAAUGACUAAAUCGUCCAAAAUAUGCUAGAAGAGGGCUAUGACAGCGACUUACUUAAACCCUGUGAAAUGACAUUUAUUAGCUAGACUUUGGGACAUACGGAACGUAGAUUUAUCUUUUUUUCAGGAAAGAAAAGAAGUCUGAAGAACAGCAAAUAUAACUGAUCACAACAAAGCCGGAGCUUCAGAGGGAUUAGAGUCUUGAAGGCGUCCCUCCAGCAACCACGAGGGUUUCCCCAGAGAUGUAUGAUGCAUCAUCAGAUGCUAGAAAGGCAGCAGCUGCAGCCAUGUCUUCUGUUGUCCCCAGCCUCUUAAGCAAAGUUUGUUCCUCAAGUGUUUUUCUCUGCAGAUAUACUUCUCAUUUAGCAUAUGGUAGAUCAGCAAUAAAAGGAGAAAUAUUUUUGGGAAACUGACUAAUGAUUCUACGCAAUGAAAUUGAUGCUAAAACUGGGUUAUUUAACAUUCAUUCUCAGUUGUGCAUAUACUCUGAAACACAUUCAAGAAGAGGUUUGCACUAAAUGUGGAGCCACUAUUUGCAAGUAUGAGACUUUUGCAAAAGAUUAGUGCAGACAAUGGAUCAUAAUGGUUUCCUAAUCCAUCAUCUAGAAAGCACUAAGGCAUUUAUCAUCUAUGUAUUUCUUCUUUAAACAUCUGUAAUAUGUGGACAGAAAUGACAAACAGUGCAAUAACAUUAAGACCUAAAAAUAGAGAAAAAUACAUAUGCUCAGAAUACUUACAAUGGUUUCAUCUCUUGUGAGGAAAUCAGCAAAAUGCGUGGGCACAAAUCCUGGAGCUACACAGUUAACACGGGUGUCUGGACUCAUCUCAGCUGCAAGGGCCUGGAAGUGAACAUAUAAAAAAAUAUUAACACAUACUGCAGGAGGGUGUAUAUGAGCUAAACUGUUAUAUAGUGCUACAUCCAUCAUUUUUGACUAGAUUGAUAGCAAGUAUGAGGGAUCAAAUGAAUUGCAGAUUACAUGACAGCAGCUACAGGCAAAUAUGGCUCUACUUAUCUACUAUAAUAGAUAUAGUUUUCAUGAGGGAAAAUAUGUAAUUGUACUCUUCUAACAAACAAAUGCAUAAUUCAAAUAUGUUUCAGCAUAUUUAUAAUGUUAAAACAUUUUAAUGAAGGAGAUGCUUACUAUUGCAAGAGAGCCUACCGGUUAAUUAAUUCUAUAACAAAUCAGAAACAUACAAGACAUAAAAAUGUUACCUUGCAGUUAGUCAAAACCAAUACCAAGCUAGUAAUCUACCAAACAGGUGCAAGCUACCGGUGUUUUAUAUAUUUUAUAUCAUGCACAUCACUGCUACUGAGACUUCUUACUCUCAAAGGAGGUUAGCUCAUUUUCAGUUCUGCUUAGGCAUGUACAAGAGAAAAAUCUAGCCAAAAACUAAGUAGAUCAUUUAGGAUGAGACUAGGAGAACCCUCUCAUGAAUAAAAACACCAGUUCAAUAUAAAGACCCCAUCACUCCCAACUGUUGACAUCAUGCAUUGCUUCCACUCCUACAUUUAAAGAAAAAAGAAAGUGUAGGAGUUGGUUUUAGAAGAAAAUAGAAGAUACAUAAUACAUAUGGAGCACUGCAUAAAGAUCAUGCAUAAGGAAUUAGUAUGGAAGAUAUCAAACAUCCCAAAAAAGACAAACAAGGAGAAUGCUAUCAAAUAAACCUCCUGUCUUUGAUUUUCAUAGGAAAGAUCAUCUUUAUCCCAUUCACACACAAGUGCAUGAAUAUCUCCUUGUGGUUCCUUACUUUUUUAAUAGACUUUGCAGGCCAUAACCUAGGUAGCCAUAUCGUCUACUUAGAUCCUGUAAUUGCCUGGUUUGGAAAUUUGGUAGCAAUAGGUCCAGAAUACACCUUAAAAAUCGGAAAUCUCAAAGACCCACAAGCAAGAAAAAAGGGAAUUUAAUUAGUUUAUUGGUGCGUUCUUCUUACCUGGUAAGAAUCAUCUCUUAAGAUGGGAUAUUUUCAAGGAAAAGCAGAAUGUUAUAGGAAUAUAUAAGGGCACAGCAACACCUUAUUUUAUCUCAUUUGAUAUUUAGAACCUCCAACCACAACUACCAGAAAUAUAAUUAAGAAUGCAAAGAACAAGGAACAUGACAUCCUUAUUCUCCAUCAAUUUAUCAAAUAUAUCACAUUUUCCCUUCUUCCAACUCUAAAAUAACCUCUUGUCUUUAUUAAGUUCAUCUCCUUGAGAUUAUUCAUUAAGCUCAAAAACAUUAUGUCAAGAAUUUACCUUUAUAUUCACUUUACUUACCCAUGCUAAUAGCUAAAAUUGUUCAGUUGUUACGGGGAAAAAACCCUUCCAUAUUCAGUAUUAAGAAAAAAAACAUUCAUCUAGCAAAGUUUUUAACAGUAAAACACCUGUCCCUCUUGCUUAAUCCUGCACAUCUUACCUCAUCUUUGCAGGUUAUAGUAGCAUGAAACUUCCAUGGUGGCGCAACCACUUUAGAAACUCUCAAGAAACUCACGCCAACACUCACUUCCUAAGUGUUUCUUAUUUUAACUCUUUUCAAGAAAUCCUCUUCACCACACCUGCGCCUGCAACUGAUCUCGCUCGAAAAAUCCUCUUUACCACACCUGCGCCUGCAACUGCUCUCACUUCAGGUAACUAGUGCACAGCUCCUCCAGCAUGACUCCAUUCAUAUUACCAUUGUAGCAGUCUUAGCAUAGACUGGCAAAUCCAUCCACACCAAGUUUACGAUUAAAGAGGAAAAUUACAGCGAAAUCUAUACAAAUUGAGUGCUAAUCUUUCUCUCAAUAUUUCCAUUACCUAGCCACCAUUUUAAAUCCUCAGUAACCCAUUUCAGUUUUCAUCUGACAAAUCUAAUAAUACUCUAAUAUCAACCUCAUCAAAAGAAUAAAGAAUUUUAUGUAUCAGACAGGUUUACCAUGUGGAAAGCCAACAUAUCUCAAAGCAAGAAAGAUAGUACAAUUUCUCAGAAAGCCACUUAACUUUGGAAUGCAAUGCAAGAAUUGGAGAUAGCAGCUAUGGUCUACCAGCUCUUACCCAUGACAAUCAGAUUUACCAAUAUUUUCUUCUUAUACAUGUACUAGAACUUCUAUAAUAUGUUUGAAAAAACAAAAAAGUAAAAUAUCUCCUUAUAAUAGACACAUUGGAUAUCAAUAGGUACCAUUUAGUGAAAAGUGAAAUGAUAUAAUCAACCGAUAUGGUCUGGCUGAAUUUGUCUCCUUCAUUAGCAAGCAUUCUUUAAACGUAUGGAAUAUCUAAAUAUUGUCUUCUGAAUGAUAGGUGAACCUCAAACAUACCUGCUUUAUAGGAAAACAGGAACAUUUUUUUUGUGAUAACUUAAAAAAACUUAGUACUCACCAAUAACACUAUUUUCAUAGGGUCAGCACUAUAUGCUUUUGUUUUUAUUAUGGGAAGUGAUCAUCAAUUGGAUAGUAAACUGUAGAAUUUAUUAAAUAAUCAUUCUAACAUGCAGUAUAACAUUAGCUAGAGGCAACACCCAUGUGAGAAGAUAAAUACCUUAGUCAGUCCCAGAAGAGCUGUCUUUGUAACGCCAUACAUGGCUAGUGCAGCUUGUGGAUGAUAUCCUGCAAUAGAUGAUAUAAGGAUGACUGAUGAUCCCUUACGCAAGUGUGAUACAGCAUCCUGCAACACAAAUCCAGGUAAAAGUUUAAAACAAUGACUGCAGAAUUAAAAAUAAAACAUUGUUAGUAUGUGACGUACCUGCAACAGAAGGAUUGCAGCCUUCACAUUUAUCUCCCAAAGUUUAUCAAGAACUGAUUCUUUCGUAUCCAAUAUGCUAUCUGCUGUUGGAUUAGCAGCAGCAUUGGAAACAACUAUAUCUAUAUGCCCAUAUUUCUGCAAUGAAAACAAUUAUAGAUUUCAUUACCAUAACAUUUAUGAGAAAUUUGAUCCAGCAUUAUCAAGCCAGAAAUAGACUUGACGAGAGAAGAAAGCCUAAUGCCUACUCACCAAAGGCCUGAAGUGCUGGUACAUAUAUCAAAUAUGCAGCACAUAUAGAUUUCAGGAUUUUCUGGAAGUGCAAACUGAAAAGAUCUAAGUGUAUGCAGAUUGCAGAACAAAAAACAGAGGUGAAAAACAUGGAAAAUAUGGAAGGCACGGACCUUUAAUCUUUCUCCACAUUUUUAGAAGGAGUCGUCCAAGGUGCUCUGUUGUGAAGUGACGAGUUCAUUUUUGGUUGGUGUUUGGAAAGAUGACUCCUCCUGAACUAUUUGUCCAUUCGUGAAACUAUGCUGAUGUCUAAGGUUUCCUAAGCACUUCUUAGGUUUCCUUUUGUUUCUUUUUUUAAGUAGAAUAUGAUGUCUAUGCACGAAUACAUCAUUUUGGGGCUUGGGAUAGCUCUAUUUACAAUUUUGAAGCAGAGUUCAUCUUGGGGGUAAGGUUUUUGAAUCCACAGCUCUCAAUCUUCAAAAAACAAGAAAGAGACUAAUGAAGUGAAGGGAUUGGAUUCUGAGGCGUAUGAUAAUUCCAGCAUUUUCUAAUUACUUGGAACAUCAAUGAAAUCAAUUGCAGCCCUUGAAUUAUGAAAAAUAUUGGAUUUCAUCAUAAAAUAAGUUUAUAUUUAUUUUAAAAUUAUUAUAUUAUGUUGCAUGGCCCUUACUUGGCCACCAGGUUAGUCCUUUUUAAUCACUUGUCCAUCAAAAUAGUUGGCCCACAAAUAAUUUAUGCUCCAAGUUAUCUUUUAUUUAUCUGGUUCCUUAGCAUCUGAGUCAAGGUAGGCUGUAAAUAUUGUGUUAUGGGAUGGCUAAGGAGGAUAGUCUAAAGUAUGUAUUGUAUGAGUUUGUGUUGUUAAGGAAGAAAGUUGUUUCUUUCCUCUUAAUCCUCUGUUGUCUUCCUCUCAUUCCCUCCUCUCUCGUCUUCUUUCUCUACUAUUUUCUACUCUCUUCUUCAAUCCGUGAGUUUUCUCAUGUGUCAAGUCCAUACACGCAUAAGCAGGCCAUCCCCCUAAGUUAUCCUACAUCAAUUUGGUAUCAAAGCAAAAAGAUCCUGCAUAUAUUCUUUCUUUUCUUUACAUUUUUGUUCUUCCCUGAUAUUUUUCAUCAUGUCAUCAAAUAGUGAACUAUGUUUCAAGCUCGAGUUUCUUCAUCAAAACAUAAGGAAGGACUCUGGGUUUAUGUGCAAUGAUUUGGUAUCAAUUUACACCAGGUUAGUAACUCUCACAAUGUUUUGGUGUUAAUGCCUGCCAGGUUGCAAGCGGUGGCAACAACUUUAGAUGUUAGACAAUGCCUUCAAGCAUGGUCAUCUUCUCUAGCUUUAAAUCAUCAAUGACCUACAAAGCAAAUUCGUGUAGUGCUGUGCAAGUCCAAGUACAUGAAGCAACUCCAAUAAAAAGUCCUGCAAUCGAAAAUCCACUGAACAAGGAUGUUGUUAUUGAAGCUAGGUCUAUCAACGAUCUUGUAAAUGGUGAACCUUCACAUCAGAAGCUUGCAAUUGAACAUACAUCAUGUCCAAAGAAUACGAUUCAGAAGCAUGCAAACAUCGAAGAAUCAGUGGCAAUUUUCAAAUAACAAAGACAUGGAUGGCAAUCUUUCAAGGAUUGUGAUCAUAUCACAACAUUUUGAAGAUCCAUUUCAUGUUGAUUUUAUGGAUUCAUAAAAGCACACCAUCAAUCAAAUGAUCAAAAAUCUUCAUGGUUGAAGAUCCAAGAGCACCAAAACAAACCGCUGAAGAUACAAUCAUAAGAAAAUUUUAUGUUGGCCUCCAUUAUCAAGUCUUGAAGAUUCAAAGGUGGACUAAAUGUCAAAGGGACAUCAAGAUCUCAAGGACGAGAUUCACACAGCAGAAGCAAAUGAUGAAGUCAAGGGCUCGGAUCGUGAGGCACAAUUUCUCUUAUGAUCAUUUGAGCCCUCAUCCAAUUGCUUGGAGCACCAAUGGAUUCAUUUGCAGCCCUUAAAUUAUAAACAGUCCGCAUUUCAUCAUAAAAUAAGUUUGUAUUUGUUUUAAAAUUAGUAGGUUACUUGGCACUUAAGCAACUUAAAUAUUAAAUUACUUGGCCACCAAGUUAGUCUUUUCUUAAUCACUUGUUCUUAAAAUACUUGGCCCACAAGUAACUUGGCCUAAAAGUUACCUUUAUUUUCUUUGGUCUCUAAGUAUCUAAGUCAAGGUAGGCUAAAAAUAUAGUGUAUGGGAUAACUAAGGAGGACAACCUUGAAUCAUGUAAUAUAUUUCUGUUGUCAUGAAAGACAGUUGUUUCUUUCCUCUGAUCCCUCUCUUGUCUUCCUCUCACUCCCACCUCUCUUUCUCUUUAUUAUCUUCUUUUCUAUACUCUUCUCUACUCUCUCUUCUCUCUAUCUAGGAUUUUUCCUUGUGCAUUAGGCCCAUGUACGCAUAAGCAGGCUAUGUCCCUGAGUUGUCCUGCAUUGGAGAGAAUCUGGACCAAGCUUAAGUUGUUUGUUCCUGCAACCAAAACCUCCUAUACCUCCACAGAAGACUAGAAAGUUUUACUGCAGCAUUAUGAAAUAUGGAGGAACCACUUCAUACAGUAAGUUAAUUUUCCAUAAAUCUUGUAUGAUAUCUAUAUCCAUAUUAUUCAUACUGGUCUUAUUAUUUCAGAAUGCCAUGCUUAUGCAUGAAUAAGAUUGCUAAGCUAUGCUCAAUGCACAAGACCCUCAUGAGUUUGAAGUGAGAGGUAGCACUACUUGCAGUCAACAACAAUAAUAGGUUGACUCAUCAAGUUGACCCAUUACUCGAUCAAGACAUUUCGACUCAGCUACCUAGUGGACUGACUCAGUGUGCGAAACAGAUCUGGGCAUAAAUAGCAAGAAUUUUGAAUGAUUCAGUCAAAUCUGCCACUUCACAAGUCACUUUCCACUGAACUAGUUUACUUAGCUCUUAAUGUCAGUUUUCACAAGUUCAAAUAAGCUCCAUGACCUGGCAACAUCACAAUUUGUUCAUGGGUCACUCAGUACUAGAACAACGCACUGCAUUGUUCUUACAAAAUCUUGUGCCUCUCUUUAAAGAAAAUUUAGAGAAAGAUAGAAACAAGUAGGGUACAUUGUCAAAACUAGGGGUGCCAUAAUUAAUGAUUUAAUGAUAUGCAAGGCCAGAAAACUGUAGAACCGAAAGCAACAUGCUGGAACGAGAAAUCCUGACUUUCCCUCUGUAUUAUUCUUGAAUCUCAACUGCACCAUCAUUUUUAAAACAACUUUUCAAGUAAUACAAGAGGAACAUUUUACACCAUCAACUGAUGAUUCUAUUCCUUCAUCAAAACUAUUAGGUAAUUUAGGCUUGUUUUCCCAGCUUAAGUUUCAAAGUUCCCAAUAUUUCAAUCAAUAUUUAUGUUAUCCCCAAUUUCUUUAGAGCCAAGUCAGAGUAACAGAUCUGUUGCAGAUUUGAUUGCUAUCCAGUCCGGAUGCAAUUGACUUGUCAAAGAUUUACUCCAUACAUCUUGACUUGCAUGCUUUUGUGGCCAAAAUAUUUUGCACUCAUUUCUCUUAGAUGUUCCUUACACACACACACACAAUAUAUAUAUACACACACGUACAUAUACACAUAUAUAUAUACACACAUACAUAUACACACACAUAUAUAUAUAUAUACACGUACAUAUACACAUAUACAUAUAUAUAUAUAUACACGACAUAGAUAUAUAUUCAAAAUUUCAAAUAGGAUGUGAACAAAAUCACGACUUAACCAUUUGAUUAGGUCGGCCCACAUGAUUCAAGAAAUUUGGACAAUCUGAGUUGAGCCGGAGACAUGGGUUUUCCAAGACUAAUACUUCAAAAUCCAAUAAAAAUCCUUUCCUAAUAUGCUGAACUCAAAUAUUCCAUCCCAAAUCGAUAUAAUCAGCAACUACACUGGAUGAGAGUGCAGAUCGAACCAUGUAAAAAAGCAUGACUAUUAACAACUCCAAAUAGGCAAGAACCAAGCGAAGCAUUAACUAUGACCAAUACCCCAACAUAAAAAAUUACCCUAAUUUGCAAUCCAAGAAACAUAAACCCUCACAAAACUUCACACCUUUAGAUCAAUUAUACAAAAAGGUCACAACUUUGAGGGGAAAAGAUCCAUUUUCUUGCGAAUUAACCAAAAGCAAAGGAUCUGUCACCUGAACGGUCUUGUCGAUGAGGUCCUUUCUUUGCCGGGGAUUUGAGACAUGGCAGACGACCCCGGUCACCUCAAUUCCCUUCGACCGGAGUUUCUCGACCGCCUCAUCCACGUUCUUCUGCUAGCCCACAACAAGAACCACAGAUAGAUAAGAAAGAUAAUUAGCCGAAUAUGGAACAAAUCGCCACAACUUAUACGAAAAAAGAAGAAGAGAGGAGACGAGAGAAGUGACCUGCUUUCGAGAGGAGACGACGACGGAAGCGCCCUCGAGGCCGAAGCGCUCGGCGAUGGCGAAGCCGAUCCCCUGGGUCGAGGCUGUCACGAUCGCCACCUUGCCCUCCAGUCUCCUCGCUUUCACCUCCAUCUCUCUCGCGCGCGCGCGGCCGGGAAGGAGAGGGACGAAGGACGAUCCGUAGCCCAGGAGUUGUGCUGCUCCGGCCCGACUCCUAACUCCUUAAAAAGUAGAUUCUAGCCGUCGGAUCUAUGCUAUGAUCCCGCGGUCUGUGCAUCGCUUGCUCCGCCCGUUCUUGGAUCGUGGCACUUGGGCUUUGGUAUUUGGAUAUUCCCAGCCGAGAGACCGAAGUGGGCCAAAUCAUCCGGCCCACAACGUUCGGAACUCUUUCCCCGAAAAUUAGGUGAUUAACAUUAAGAUAAUUAGUUAUAAAAUUCUUGUUUAAGAGUGAUCUCAGAUAUUUGUGGAUUUCUUGGUGCAGUGAAAAGUUUUGAAUGACUUCAGUAGGUUGGUGUAAAUCCCAACUUCUGUUCAAACAAAGUCAGAUCCAAACCCGAAAACCGCCUAAAAUAUUAGGGUUAGGAUUUGCUAAACUUUGAUUCCUUUAUAGGGACUAGAUAUAAUGCACACGCCGAUUCGCAUAGGGCUACCACUAAAGAUUUAGAACAUAUAUCGAAGACUUUAACUUGGAAUAAAUACAAAUAUAUCUUUCUUAUAAGAUUAUUGAAAUUUAGUUAGUUUAUUAUAUUUUUAAUCUAGAUAAGUUUCAUUAUAGCUAUUAAUUCAUGAUUUUGGACAUGGAAAUCUUAUCAUGCAUAUAGUUCACUAAACCUUUGGAUAUUGAACUCAUCAAAGUCCAACAAUGUUGAAAACCUUUUUUUUUUAAUAGAGUUUUGGCAUGGUUUAAACAUCCGAGAGAGACAUAACUAACAAGAAUCAUUAGAAACUGAAAAAUUACAAAAUUCAGCAACUUUUGUAUAUUGUGUAAAAAUUCAGUAAUAUGACAUAGAGCUUGAAAACGACAAACGGGGAAUCUUUCCCACCUGUAAAAAUGUUACCGUUAGGAGUCCUCGGCAUUUAGCAUAAAAGUGGACAAUUUCACCAACAAAGAAUUGGUGAUCUUAUUAUACUCCAAUAUAACACCUCUGGAGAGUCACAUAUUGGCAGAUCGAUUACAACUCCAUACAGGUAACAAAAAAGAAGAUCACCAAAAUAUACCUUACAUUCCUCAGCAUUUACCACGUAUGGAACAAAAAGGAUUUUACCCAGAGAUUUUUACAAAUAUUGAUCAUCCCUAAAAAUCAUCUUUUGCCGCACGGACCUGUUGUUUUUUUUACCACCAACUUCUGAACAAUUCCCUGAAAAUUUGAAAUUGAAAAGCGAAUCAGUUCCAAAAAAAUAAAUGGCUCAUGUAGCCCAUGGAUUAUCAUCGUCCAUAAAAAAUACUUCCAUGCCAUAAAAAAUAAUUGGUGUUGCUCUAACGGCGUUUAAAUCAGAAGGUGUCACAAAGGAUUGCAAGGGAGUCACAAUUGAGGGCUCGUUUGGUUCGUGGAAAGCAUUUUUUCUUCUAAAAAUAUGAUUCCUGAAAAGCAGAUUUUUAGAAAGAGAAUGCCUGGAAAAGUACUUUUGGUAUGUUUGGUUGACCAUUAGAAAGUGACAGAUUUAUAGAGUACUUAUAUUUGGUUGACCAUCAACUUUUCUGAAAAAGUUAUGUAUAAUUCCUAUUAUACUCUUAAUAAAAAUUAGGUCUUUAAUGUCUCUUUAAUGCUGAAGGGCUUUUUUAAGAAAAAUAAAAAACUAGAUGAUUCCCGGCUCAUGGAAAAGUAACUUUUCCAUGUUGAUGGGAAAGACUUUUCCAUGAAAUGUGAGAAUCAUAUUUCCAUGGGAAUACAACUUUUCUAUCUCUCUUUUUUGAAAACUCCAAUCAAACAAGAGGUAUAUCAUUACUUUCCCAUUGANNNNNNNNNNNNNNNNNNNNNNNNNNNNNNNNNNNNNNNNNNNNNNNNNNNNNNNNNNNNNNNNNNNNNNNNNNNNNNNNNNNNNNNNNNNNNNNNNNNNNNNNNNNNNNNNNNNNNNNNNNNNNNNNNNNNNNNNNNNNNNNNNNNNNNNNNNNNNNNNNNNNNNNNNNNNNNNNNNNNNNNNNNNNNNNNNNNNNNNNNNNNNNNNNNNNNNNNNNNNNNNNNNNNNNNNNNNNNNNNNNNNNNNNNNNNNNNNNNNNNNNNNNNNNNNNNNNNNNNNNNNNNNNNNNNNNNNNNNNNNNNNNNNNNNNNNNNNNNNNNNNNNNNNNNNNNNNNNNNNNNNNNNNNNNNNNNNNNNNNNNNNNNNNNNNNNNNNNNNNNNNNNNNNNNNNNNNNNNNNNNNNNNNNNNNNNNNNNNNNNNNNNNNNNNNNNNNNNNNNNNNNNNNNNGGUAGUAUAAAUUGCCACCCCUUCAUCACUCGCAAGGCCAUUUAUCCUUGUAGAGAAAGGCAUGGAGCUCCACCGAGGGAACACAGAGAGCUAUGUUCCAAACAAAAACUCAAGAGCCUUGUUUGAGCUAGUCUCGAAAUGCCGCUUACCAAGGCUAGUUCAAAUGUUGCUCUACGGCGUCAUAUGUGCAGUAUGUAAUUCAAGGACCAAAAUGUAGUUCAAACUAGAACUUCUAGCUAAUUUUGUUUAAGUUUCAUCCCAUCUGCUGAGAUUAGUUCAAAUGUUUCUCUCUUUCAACUAAUCGCAUCGCUUAAUAUUAAGAGGAACCAAGCACCCCUUCCUUGUUUUGACUGAACUUGAACACGCUACCAUUAGUAUUUAAUUUUUAGUCCUACACAUAUUUAUAUGAGAUUUACACAUGCCUGCAUUUAUAUUGCACACACAAAUAAUAACUCUUGUAUACAAUUAUAUUGCCCAUGCAUACAGUUAUACUAUCCCUGUAUACACUUGUACAUGCGUGCGCAGAGUUAUCUAUAACUGUGUAUAUAUUGGGAUAUAAUUAUAUACAAUUGCUAGGGACUUAAAACUAAAGAAAAUUUGAAACUUGAGAUGGAUGUUAAAGUCCCCGACAGCAGGUAUUAAAAGUUGCAGUCCGGUCAAAGGUGAGACUCAAAAUAUAAAUUAAGAGGUCUUAAAGUGUAAAGCUAGUAAAGAAUAAGAACUUCAAAUUGAUUUGGCUUAAGUUGCAUAAAAUUUAGCUCCAGCAAUUGAAGACUAGCUCAGAGAGUUGCUUUGGGAAGGAUAUGUAAGAAAAUAUAAAAUAUAUAAAUUAAUUUAUCUCAUCCUAUCAGCUUAAGAUUUUGGGACGAGUGGUGAUUUCAAUACUUCGGGGGAAUCUGCGGGCCUAGCCGCAGAACAUGCCAGAAACAAGAGCUUUUUAUCAAUAUAUGUGGUGAGUAAUGUUUGAACUGCUCUCGGAACGCCGCAUGUUGCCCACGCGAAGGUUACAGUAAAGUUUCAUGUCCCGGCUCUUUGUUAUUGGAGACUUUUAUUACAAAAAAACUUUAAUCCUUUAUCCCAGUUUCUUCUUACUCAAGUGGAUGCUAUCCUCUUGUUUGAUAAUGAUUUCAAAUCAAAGUAUAUGCUCACUGUAGCAAACAAUCUCUCUCUCUCUCUUUUUUUUUUUGAUGUAAAUGGUGGCAAAAUGCCUUUUGAUGUAAAGGGUACAGUCUGAAACUCGGAUGAGAAGCUUGUAAGAAAAUAUUCAUCAAACAUUCUUGCAGUUGAUGAUCAUUCUGCAGCGGUAGGAAAUAAGCAGCAACACAUCUGCAGAAGGAUGACAGGGAUGAGGUGAAGAGUGGUAGAGGAAACCGAACCAAAUGGACCACGUCAUGUAAUUGGAAAUUUUAGGUACUAUGCUCAUUGUAAUUUGCUUGUCUUGGUUAAUAUUCUCCUAUAUUCUGUAUUAUAGAAUUAUUUGGAACUAAAUUCAGAUACCUUCGAUUUUGAGGAAGCGUGACUGGAGUUAUGCUGCCUUUCUGGAUACGUCAUUGUCUUGGCUGGAAGUGUUGGCAAAUUAGUUGCAGCUAUCUGCUUCUCUUCUUUAACUUUGUUAAAUAUGACUGUAAAACUCUCAGCUGAUUUGGGAUCUGUCUCAUCCCAAGAACCAAAUCUCGGCACCGACGGGGCUCUGCGUUGUGGCUGUGCCAAUGGAGUGCAAUAAAGUCAGCUAAAAGACUCGAGCAGCAUAUAAAUUGUAUGUGUAGUCUGAAACAUCAUGUUUAUCAAUUUCACCAUUUUAUGCCUUUCAGAAAUUCAUAAUUUUCUCCUCCUUUCAAAAUAUUCCCAAGUUGCAGCAACAAAGUCACUAAACAUUAGAAAUGACACACAGCAAAUACUUACAGCUUUGCCCUCUAGAGAGUUUCCUGCUUCUGGUAUAGCUUCAUGCAGUGGUAAUGGUGAAAAGCCAUGACUACCUUCAGCUGAGUCCUUAUCUGUCCUGCGACGAUGUCGAGGUUGCAGAAGUGAGUUAUCGGAAUUGUUCUUAUCACUGCUAGGCACUGAGAGACGGCUCCCACGGUUCCUGCUUCUCUGUGGACCCAUAUUGACUCUCUGGAAAGUAGAUCUAUGAGGCAGUGGAGCUUCCAUGUAUCUCUGAAAUUCACCAUCUUCCCUGCUGUUAUGUUUCCUGUGAUGUUGUUUCACCACAUGAUAACCAGUAGAUGUAUCAUUGUGGUGUUUUUGGCAACGUUUGUGAUCUCGAGCAAAUGUCCCGGGAUGGUAAGCUUGUGGAUUUUCUUCAGGAUCAUUUGGGUUAAGAAUCUUUGAUCCAGCGCCUUUGUCUCUGCGCACCAUCUCAAAAUAUGUAGUAUAUGGAAUAUUUUCGCCAUCCCAAUUUCCAAACUUUGGUGCAUGAGCAAGUUGCUGUAACUUGUGAUACAAACAAUAUAUAAGAAUGGCUAGCUAGCCAUUUUAAGCUUUGAAAAGUCCUUAGCUUCUUAUAAAAUAGAAAUAAAAAGGUCCUUAGCUACACUAGAUCAGGGAAGGGGAGAGGAGGAAAAAAUCCUACUGAUGCAGAAUUAUUGGAUGAGGACCAUCGAAUAUUUAACAAUCAUCGGCCACCAUGAAAGGAAUUUUUAUCAUGAGACAUUUUGUCCUAAUUUUGCACGACAUAAAAUAUGCAGUGGUGCAGUAGAUGUACUGACAGAAAUCUCAAUUAACUGAGGUUGCAAGGGCAAACUUCAAUAUUAAUAAAUGGAACCAAAUGUUCGAAUCAUGUAACUGCUAAACUGUAAUUACUUUACUAGAAGUUUCAAUGUGGCGCAUAAUAACCUUUUGAAUAUUAAUAGUACAAAAGGUGAGCAAUCAAAAUAGAGAUCAUGUGGACAUUAGUAAAACAAUGGAACUAAGAAACUAAAUUUCUCUGGGCACGAAUUUCUGAAAAAGCUUCUUUGGGCAGGCACUGGCUAACUGAGACAGCUUUGAUAUUCCUAUGGCAUAUCCUGACCAAGCCCCAAUUGAUUGUUAAUUCCAAAGGGGACUAAAUUUUUCACAUUUCAUUUUUGGUUUCUAGGAAUUUUGAAGAAUGAAGAUGAUGAACUGUUUGGACUAUCAAUUUGGAUGGCCACCAUUCAUUUCACUAUUUCAGAGACCUGCAAUAUGGCUAAAACAAAAUACUGGUAAACUUAAUAGGAAAUACCAUUGCUCUCACCUUACAAGAACUGUUAACAUCAACAUCUGUUUAAUAAGCCAUUAAAUGGUUGCAACAAAAAAGUAGCACUACUGCUUUCCUUUUCCUCCCAGAGAUCUCUCUAGAUGAGUCAAUAUCUGCUUCUAAAUAUCUUCCACAAUAUAAUGCAUCUCUUAUAAAUCUUCGCAUCUUUUGUAGCCUUCUUUCUUGACAUCCUUUUAAACAUACUAAUUUACAUCGAAUGUACAUUAAGAAAAUGGUAAUGUACAUGAUAACCAUGUUCAGGGACUGUACAGAUAGCACUCGCUAGGAUGCCCUCCAGCUACAUCUGAUGGGUUAGUUUUCACUUUAUUUGUGUGCACUCCUCUCUCCAAAGUACUGGACCCACCAUUUGUCUUGUUGGAGGGAGGCUAAUAUGCAAUCCUAAUCAGCAAUCUAGACAAUCAAAUCUUGCCAUGGCAUUCAUGUAGUUAGAUAUCUGAAUUUUCAGAAGCUUGCUACUUGAGAAUGACUGUUCAGCUUCCACAUACAUUAUUGUCCUAGAUAGACAAAUAUUCCAGCUCAGAAAACUUUAUUCGAUCCAAUGUACUUUCAGUCCACAAAACCCCAGCUGAAAUACUCAAAAUUUUCAACCUGUAGUCUUCUUCAGAUGUGUACUUUUCUUCGCAGUGGAUUCAGAACACCUGAACAUAUCCUACAAAUUGUUUAUUUACUUUACCGACCUGAUACAUAUGGUCUGAGUAAAAGUCCUUUUGAAGCAGUAUGAUCUUGAAUUUCUAUGGACUAAAAUUCAGGCAAUCAGGUUACAGGGUUUCCUGAAUGUCACCCAGAUAACUUCAGCACAUAACUUCGGUGGGUGUUAGCAGGCCAAACUAAAUAGCAGAUAACUUCAGCAACCGUGCACCAAUUUUAAGACAUACAGCUAACCUAAAUGCACAUCACAAUGAGUCGCCUAAUUGGUAAAGACAUCAAAAAAUUAUCUGAAUAUUUAAAUUAAGGUCCUCUUUCUAAUCCUUAUUUGUGCAAAUAUAUGUUGAAAAUAGCUAGGUUCGUUUUGGAAAGUAUCAACUAAUAUAGAAUUCAAUCUCUCACUAGGUUUCUUUCCAAAGUUAGCAACAAAAUGGCACCAUUAAAUAAAUCUUUGGCUUCUCAACAUUUACUUUCUUCAAAUGACUGACCGCAAAAAUCUCCGUAUUGCAAGCAAAUAGCCCCGAUCUUGUAGCUUUGCCAUUCCACCUUAGUAUGUUCUUCAAGCAGAACUUAUGGAGGUCAGGUUCAAAUCUAUAUAAAUCUAAUCAUAAGCACCACGAUCGGCCCGUGAUCAGUCCUAAUGGAUCCGUGCUGUAGUGCUCCCUAGUCCACAUAGGUUACGGAUCGGAUCCGCUCUGAUACCAUUCGUAACAACCCAUUACCUCACUCCAAAAAGGCUAACCGAAAGGUAUUAUUUGAGUCUUUGAUCCUGUAUAAGUACCCAAGAUCUACCUAGCGAAUAAACGAUGUGGGACUAAAUACACGCUAGCUCGCACGGGUCUUCAUAGUAAUACCAAUUAUUUAAUUAAACACUUACACUAACUCCUUAUUUGCAGUCAUUUAUAGAUAGGUCUCUAUCUCCUUUCCCUGACACUCCACCAUGAUUGGAGCUCCUCUCCUUGCACAACCAUGUCUCAAACCUUUGUUGCAUGUCUCACUACCAUCUACACGUUGGUGGUUCUCCAACAGUUUGCUGUUAAAUAAUAUAACUUGUAUGCCUCCUUGGAUAUACUCCUUCCAGAUUUACUCUUCAACGGAUUCUUAAAUUGCUGGAUAUAUAUUUGCUUUAAAAUGAAAAAGUACAAAGCGAAAGAGAAAAAACACUUAUCGAACACUUAGUUUGGAACCAUUUAGCCUCUUUUUUUUUGCAUAUGUUCUUCUUCUCUCUUGACAAUGUAAUUCAUCAUUGUUAUAAAUAUGAUUAAUCUUCAAUAAAAGCUGGGUGGCUCCUGUCUGCCUCCCCUUUACAUCAAAAAAAAAAAGGAAAGAGAAAAAACACUAAGUAUAAGGAAGGGUUGGUUUUUUGACUUAUGAUGUCCACCAAUACUUCGUAGCAUAAACUAACCAGAAACUUGUUGUUCCUUUCUUUCCCAUUUUAUUUUAAGAGAAUGAAAGAAAGCCUUCCAUAUGCCAAAUGUACAAGGGCUUCUCUAUUCUCCCUGUUCAUUGUUGCGCAAGUGAAAGCCCAAUAGUCCAUUUGCUAUUUUGGCUUCUUUGAUGCUUCUCCCAUUUGAUUAAUUUCUCAGUUCAGAUCCUCACAAUGAAAAACAAAACAAACAAAAAUGGCUGACAGCUAAAACAGCCUAUAUUCCUUCUUGAAGCCUCAUGAACUUUAUGCCUUUUGAGAACUAAUAUGGUGAGAAACCAUGCCACUACAGAAGGAAUGGGGGCAAAGGGGGAGUCCUCUACAAAAUUUUAUCGAUUACUUUAUAAUUUUUUUGUGUUUAUUUUCUUUCAUAGCUCCCUUUCAGGUGCCUAUUAUUUAUGGAUGACUAUCUUUGCUUGGAUAUUAUUGAUGGGAGGAAUUGCUAAAAGGCCGCAACUUUGGCAACCUAGCUUAACCUCUAAAUCCAUCAACCCUAACCCAACCCAACUAGGUCUCAAGUUGAGAUUUUUCUAUCCAAAUUCAACCCAACCCCAUUAUAAGCCAAAUUCGGGUUGGGUGGAUUAGCGGGUCUGGCCAGGUUAGUUGGGUUGUGCCAUGUUAAUUGGGUUUGGUUGAACUAAGUAGAAGUUUUACCGUAGAGAAAAAGUUAGAGACAUUUCUUAGGAAUUAAUAUUUAUUAAACAGAGAUCUCGGUCAUUCACAAAUUUCAAUGACGCACUUAUAUAUUAAUUUUAACAUGAUUAAAGAAUGGCACAUCUUUCAAAGAAUUAUGGAUGGUACAUCUUUUAACUAAGUUGUGUGUAUAUCAACAUAUUUGAGAGGGCGAAAUCUUUCUGUAGCUUCAUUACUAAUUCUAGAUAAACAGAACACCCUUAGUCUACUCUAGGUAUGUACCUAGGACCAGAAUAUAACCAACAGUUCUAUUAUUAAUAUAAACUGAGAAGAAGUGGGAAAGGGAGCAACAAUUAGCUUUAGGCCCUUCAGGUUUGACAAGGCACAAGGGACAGAAGGGAGGCUAAAAGCAUGGCUCAAAAAAGAACCUUGUCAAUUGAGUGUUUAUUCUUCUUAGUCUAGCAACUAUAAUUUGUGUACCCUCUGGUGAAUAUAAUCAUCUAGAAGGGGGAAUUUCUGAUAGGGAUUGUAUCACAGAGUUGCAAUAUUUGUAGCUGUGCCGGACAUUGAUAUGUAGGUUUUCAUUUUUUUCCAAAACAAAUAGUUUGGAAACUUUUCAACUGAUUAAGAUUUCACCCAUAAAUUUCUUUUUACCUUAUUGUAAUUCAUGAUUUUUUUUUCUGAAUUUACAUGUUAGAGUACAGAAGAUUGGAUGGCAUCCUUUUUUAAAUCAUACAAGAUACAGUGACAAGAAAAUUUAAAUAAAAAAUGCCUCGAAGCUUUGAAAAUACAGAUAAUUAAGUAUCAUAGUUGUGCUAUUGGCUGUAAGCUUCGCUGCUGUCAUAAAGCUACAUCCUUAUCUGGUUAGCAAAAGAUCGAGCAUAGCAAACUACAUUAAAAUUAUUACUAACCAAGAAGCAUCCAACACACCACAGAGCUCGCCUAAAAGUUUCAAAAACAUAAUGCUAGAUUAAGCAGCAAAAUAUGCAAGCUGAGACUUGCUGUAGUAAUGGUUUGAAUUAAUAGGAUUAUGACUAAGUUCCAGAUUGUAUGGAAGUGCUGUAUGUUAAUGAUCAAUCUGAUGCUACGUAUUUCCUAUGUUUCAAAGGAAGCUCUAUCACCCCGAAACACACACAAAUAACAGCAGACUUACUUGCCCCAAACCACGACUUCCGUGCGUCAAUGUCUCAAACAAGAAACACGGUUAUCCUUUUUACACAUAAAUACAUCACAAAGCAUAAUACCACGAAAACCCAAUCAAAAUUCCAUAUCAAAAUCACUUCGCCAAUUCAUAAAUAAGAAAACACCCAAGAUGAGUGAAAACAGCCGAACCUAAAGAGUAAAACUUUCUUCAUAAGAAUAAAGAUGCCAUCAAGAUUAAACAGAUCGAUCACACAACAAAGCAAGAUAGAAAAAAGAGCAGUGGAGACAGAAGCCAAAGAGAAGUUCUACUCACGGUCAUGGUGAUCCAAAAGAGCAAGUGCUUCUACAGCGCAAAACCAGAAAGAUUGAAGGAGUCAGCAGUAGCUGGUUUUGAGCCUUCUGAACACAGAGUCUCAUUAGAUAAUUUUAAUGUUUAUUAGAGGAAGGCGUGACGUGGAAGAGCCAACCAACACGGCACCAACCAACACCGUCCCCCACGGCAACGCAUAUCCUUCUACACGUUCUCCCUCAGUAAGUCAAGUAUCCUCUCGUUCUUUCCCUUUGUCUUCUUGUCAGUACCUUGUUAUCACUUUCCUAAAAAAAAAAAACUUAGUUAUCAUUAUCUUGCAUUUCAUAAUGCAUGGGACCAGACCGGAAUAACUUAUUCGCUUCCUCUCCCACAGCCAUCAUCAGGUGAUAUCUUGGAUUUGACUUUAACAUGCACACGAGGCUUGGUAAUCAAUGGUUAGACACUUAAUUAGUCGUAUUAUCUUGUUCCGGGAGACGGGGUUGCUUGGGGUUGAGCAUCUCUUGAUGAGUGUGCGGAUCAUUGGUGGAAAGAUAUNNNNNNNNNNNNNNNNNCUAGGCUGUAGUUGUCAUCGGGACUUGAUGUUUUAACUUGGAGAUUUUGUUUGCUUGUGGAUCUCUGGUCUUCUUUUUAGUGAUCAAUUAUCUCCAAAUUCCAGAAAAUGACUCCAAUGUCGCUUGCCAAACCUUCCGAAAUACUAAUUGCUAUUGAGAAAGUGAUUAAAAUUAUCUUUUCAAGGUCAUGCUCCUUCAUAAUUUUAGUGAGAAACAAGUUGAUGGUGCUUCCCCUCUUGUGCUGAUACCGGAGAUUUAAGUAGCAAUUCUUAAAGUGGCAGCUAACUUGCUAGUAAAUUCUUCCAGGAAGAGGGCCCGGGCCAGGGCCAGGGCCAAGCAGGAAAAGGCCGAGAUUAUUUGGGAGGCUUCCUCUAUUUAUUAAAAGUAAAAAAAAAAAGUGGGAAGCCGAAGAAUAAGUAGCAAGUUGUAUAGCUCCAAUUGUAGAUGAAACCAACCUAAUUGUCUUUAAUGUUAGAUGAUAUAAUCUCUAGUAUCCAAAGCUACAAGCUUUGAAGGACCUUGCAUUACAUACUCAAGUGGAUGCCAAAAUGGUUUGUCCGAGGGAAAAUAUGGGCGAGUAGAACCUUUAUGAGAAAAAUUUAUUGCAAUUAGGAAAGUCUUACAAGGCUCGGAGUAUGCAAUCCCUGAAAUGAAAUAUACAAAUAUUGGAUCCCUUUCCUCUAUCCCUUUUCUUUUAGGAUAGUGUGUUCUAAAUUUUCCUAGACUAGAUUAAUCUUUUUUUUUACACCAUUAACUUUCCACUGGAAAGGAAUGCUGCAUUCUAUUGCCACUUAGAACCAGUCCGACCUAGAUGUCGAGUUGGUGGUGGUUGUUAGAGUUUCCAACUCGUCUACCAUCUAGAUUGGAGAGGUCGGAUAGAAUCUCUAAAUACCUCUACGACGAUGUCUUGGUGGAGUUGAAUGGUGGAAGAACGGUUUUCGACGAUGCUGCGACAUUGGCUCCGACUUAAAACAACAAAAAAUAAGGGAUUCUAUCCACUAGAGUAUGUCCAGUGAGGAACUCUCCGAUGCCUAAGUCAGACACGACUCUCAAAAAAUUGGAGAAUGACUAAGAGGAGUGGGGAGACAGUGCAAGAGAGUUAAAAAGAGAACUUAUCUGGAGAGCCUCUAAGAACGCAAUUUAUAGGCGAGGACCGAAACCCAUCGCCGAGUAAUUUGAGGAAGAUAUGCUGGUUGAUAAGGCACCAAAUCAUGUAUCUCGUCUAUAAAUCUUUCUCACAUUCUCGAUAGUAGGAUUUGCUCGAUACAUCGUUUAAGAAACAACUAGCUAUACAGUUAUGAAGAAAGUUUGAGAUCCACGACACUUUCUGCACACCUUUUGGGUGUGACACAUGGCAAGCUUGAAUAGUGAGUGCACGACUAGGUGCGGAACUUUCAUUAGUUAGUUUGCUAUAGUCGGAUAGGUCGGUUCCGAGAUGUAUCAAAUUUCAUUCGUCUAUUCCUCGAGGGCCGGUUUGGAUGCUUAUCUUAAAACAACAUAAGGGGAGGAAAAACCAUCAAUAAUUAGUAUACCGCAUCCUCCCUUCCGGAAAUUAUGGAAAUAAAUCAUUCCUCCUCGGAGGUGAUUUAUUUUAUUUUAUUCACAAAGUUCAGGAGUUAGGUAAUGUUUGCCUUUCCAAAUUCAUUAAACCUCUCCUCUCUUCUCCCGACCUCACACGCCUCCUCAACCUCUCUACCAUCUUCCCGCUUUUAGUCGGACGUCAAGUUAUCCGAUGACAGUUUCAAAUUGGCCCUAAAUGAUUAUAAUAUACUCAAAAACAUCCUGGCAAAGCAUUGCCAUACAUGAACAUCUAUAAAAUAUCAAGCCAGAGCUAGACUUGCUCCCAGCUGAUGAUAUCGAUUCUUUUUAUUUUGGUAGAAAUGUUAUGUGGUGUCUUUAUGGUAGAUCUAGAUAAAAGGGGAUAUUUCCUAACAAUUUUUUGAGCAACAACGAAUAAAAAGAUAAUGAGACAUAAUUAAAAAGUCUCUUGAAAAGAAUGUUAUGUGGUCCAUCCUAUCUUGCUGGUUGUUGGUGGUUGGUUACUUAGCUUUUUAAAGAUCAAUUCCCUUAAUUUCAUAAGGUUCUCCUUUGCUUUUUUUUUCUUAAAUUGAUUCAGAACACUGCUGUGAUAUUUUUCAUUUUUUUAUCACUAAUAAUAUUAUUAUCAUCAUCAGAUUUUCUUUUUUUUUUACUAAAACGAAUGAUUCAUACAAUAAAAUCAAAAAAUAAUAAAUUUCAAAGCUCAACGUCAGUUUUUUUUUAAUAAGAAAUUAAGAACCGGCGGUAUAUAUCAUUUUCAUUAAAAUGGCAACAGUAUUCUAGUUGGGAGAUGAGCGGCAAUAAAAUCUACCCCUGCAGUAGUAAUGUAAUUGGGUUUCGCCCUUCCAUCAUCAGAAGGCAAAAAAGGUAAUAAUUCAUCUAGCCCAACGGCUCCAUCAAUUAACCAUAACUUAAUUCGGCGACCCAACGGUUCCACACGUCAACACCACGGCGGCCAACGCGAGCCUGCAACCUAGCGUCCAAAUUUGACGCAUGGGCGAAUUAAAAGCCGACGCCAACCUCCUUGACCCCAACUCCUAUAUGUACGGGAGCCCUCCUCCCAAGUCCCAUCAUCAAGAAGCAGCGGCGGAAUAGAGCGAAGGAGAAGAAGCCGAUGGCCAGCAGCAGCGCGAGGUGCACCUUAUGGGCCGUGGCGGCGGUGCUGGUGGUGUCGACGGCGGCGGCGGCGGCGGCGGCGAAGGUGUCGUGUGGGGACGCAGUGAAUGCGCUGAUCCCUUGCGGGUCGUACCUGGUUGGUUCGGGCCAGGCGGAACCGAGCCCGAGAUGCUGCAAGAGCGCAGGGGAGCUCAGCCGGAUGGCGAGCACCGUGGCGGAGCGCCGCGCGCUGUGCCAGUGCUUCAAGCAGACGGGGCCAUCCUUCGGGGUGAAGCCCGAGCGAGCGAACCACCUCCUCACGGCCUGCAACCUCAGCCUCACCAUCCCCCUCAACCCCAACAUGGACUGCAGCCGGUCGGUCAUUCCCUUUCCAUCUUCCAGUAUCCAAAUACUACUGUUACCUCCACGCAUGGUGCCACGGUCUUCAUGCUUUUGGUUACACUAUGAGAUAUAUGAUGUGUUAUUUUUGUUACUCACUUUGGUUUGUUUUCCUCUUUGUGUCUGUGGGCUUGCAGGAUUUCAUAAAUGGUGGAGUAUAUUAGAGAGCUACGUUCGGAGGAGCAUUCCUGGGAUAUAUGCAGGAGAAGUAGGAUAUAUUAUUAUAGCUACGUUCAGUGGGAUGCAGUUGCUAUCAGGGUGUUUCUGUUGUUGUGAAGUCCUUUGGACCUCUGGGCUUAAUUUGAUGUUGAAUAUAAAGUUAAUGUGAAGGGUGUAACAGGUAUAUGUACGUAGAAUAAUUAAUGGAGUUUGUAGUAUAGAGUGCUUAAUUAGUAACUACUUUUAUUGGAUGCCACUUAUCUUCUCAUGAUCUGGAUUGAGAGUGAAAAUAGUAGAACAAGAAACGUAUAAGUUCGCUUGUCUGAUUCUCAAUUUCAUUUUUGCCAAGAUCUCUAAUUAAUUAACAAGACGUUUCAUGAGAUUUGGUGAACUUAAAUAAUUUGAUCUAUUUUCUCGAGGAUGUGAUGUAGUACUCAGAGCACACUUUGGAUUCAUGCAGCCUUCUCAGCCUACUCUUACAUCCUCAAAAUAAAUGUUUCGUGACGUGGAUCGAUGCUUGAUUCCUGGUGUAAUAAUUUGGCAUAAUAACAUCUUAAUUAAUUUCUCAUUUCCAAUACGUUGUCCAUUAGUUUCCCAGCAUUCGGGUAAUUCCUAGUUGUUGCCAAAAUUACAGUGUCCACAAUUAUGCUUAUAAAUUAUUGGAAGCUAUUAUCGUCAUUUUGGGCCAGAUCCAGGCCGGGUUGAGUUGAGCCCUCCUAUACGAUCAUGAUGCCAACAUUGGGGCUAGGCUUCAUCUGGCCCAUGGAAAAAAUAUUAACAAAUUCAUCAGUGGGCUAGAGUCUGAUAAAAAAAAUUCCCUAUACUAUGGAGCCCAUUCUCCACCUUGGGAGUAAGUACAUUGUUGUGAUUUCUUUAUAAGACAAACUAGUUAAUAAUUGGUUAAGAGAACAAAUGAAAGGAGGCUCGUUGUGCUUUAGUUAAUUUAGAAUCCGUGACAGGCAAAGCUUGCUGUCAUUUAAUGGGCUUUGAGACGAUCUUGUACCGUCGGAGGCCUUGCCACUUCAGCAGCCAUAGCUGCCAAGCGAUAUUGCCUGCCAACUGGGGUUAGAAAGACAAAAUUGUAUUCCUCCAUCCUUUCGAGUGCUCACCAGGUAAUCCAUAUAAUGGAAUAUUUAGAUUUGGAUGCCAUUUAUUUUAAUCCACUAUAAUAUUAUGGAAAACUAUCUCAUAUGUUUUGGCCAAGGAAACAACUGUGGAUUUUGAUUUCUCACUUCUAGGGCUGAAAAUAGAUCGGAUACGGAUCGGAUAUUGGUACAUCCAUAUUUUUUAACAGAUACAGAUAUGAAUAUUAAAUAAAUAUCAAAAUUGACAUUUAUAUUUGUUAUAAACUGAUACGGAUAUGAAUCGGUUAUUAAGCAUAUCUAUAUUUGUUAUAAACAGAUACGGAUAUGAAUCAGAUAUUAAACAUAUCUAUAUUUUUUUAUCUGAAUAUAAAUAUAAAUUAGAUAUUUUUAUGGAUAUUAAUAAAAUUUUUAGCAAAAUUUAAUUAUUAAAACUAGUAAUAAAGAUAUGACAUAAAGAAAAGAUUCAAGUAAGAAAAUAUAAUUUUAACAAGCAUUCGUCAAUAAUAAAAACUAACAAUAAUGAUAUAAUCAUAAAUGAUAUAUUUAAUAAAAAAAUAUAAUUUGUUGUCAUCAAAAGCAAGAAGCAAAAUUUUAAUGAAGGCAAAAAUUCAAAAAUAAAAACUAUAAUGAUAUAUUCAGAAGGGAUAAAUUUGAUUUAAAAAUUUUAAUUUCAGUAAACAUUUAUUACAAGCAAGAGAUAUAAUCAUAAUUCAAAGCUCUAUUUUAAGUAAGAAAUGGAAUAUAGAACUCAGAAAAAGACACAAGAAGAAUCUUAUAUUGAGUAUCCAAAUGAUCACGAACACUUUCUCUAGUUAACAUGAAUGUAUACUCAUCUAUACUCAUAAUAAAAAUACUUAAAUACAAAUAUGAGAAAAUAAAAAAGUCAAUUAAGACGUAUGUAUAAUAAUCCUAAAUAAUAAUCAUUCAAUAAAAUAAAUAUAUACUUACUUUCUUACUGGAACUCCUAUAUUUUGACUUCAUUAUAACGACACAAUUAUUAUAAGAAGAACCAUAAUAUUAUUUCAGAUAUAUGGCAUUCAAUAUUAAAAGAGCUUGGAUUUAAAUGAUAAAUGAUUCAAAUAUUUAGCAUAAUGCUCAUAAGAUAAAUGAUAUAAGAAAAAGGAUUUAAACAUAUAAAUUAUAUCAAAAACACAAUCACCAUCCACUAUAGUUAAUCUCAUUCAAAGAUAAACUUCAAAUACAUCGCAACACAAAUAUCUUUAACAAAGUUUUAUAAACUAAUAAGUAGAAUAGUUCCAUUUAAUGGAAUGACAUCAUCUGGCAAUCUUCAACGCUCCAAUCACCCUGCAAUAAAAAUAAUGAUUUCUCUUCACCAUUUCUUAAAUAUUUUUAAUUGCCACAUUAAUUUUUUUUAAUCCAUCUCGCACAACUAAAUUAAUAAUAUAUGCAGCACAUCAUAUAUGAAAGAAUUGACAAUUACAUACAAGUAUUUCUUGAAGUUUUUCUAUAAUAUAUUCAUAAGAAACCACACCAAGCAAACUUCUUAGCUUCACAAAUGCUUCUACCUUCAGUGCUUUGGUGAGGAUAUCAGCCACUUGAUCUUCUCCCUUGCAAUGAUGUAGUUCGACCACCUUAUCUUUGACAAGCUCCCGAAUAAAGUGAUAUCGAACUCCUAUGUGCUUACUUCUAUCAUGAAAAGCUGGAUCCUUGGCAAUCAAAAUUGCCGACUUAUUAUCACAAUAGAUUUUGGUCUGAUCACUUUGUGGAAAGUCCAACUCUGUCAACAUUCUUCUGAGCCAUAACACCUGAGUCAUGCAUGAUGAUGCUGCAACAUACUUGGCUUUUGCUGUGGAGAGUGCAACUAUAUCUUGCUUCUUAGAGGACCAAGUAAAAACACUCUUGCCAAAGAACAAUACAUUCCCAGAUGUACUCUUUCGAUCAUCAAUAUCUCUUGCCCAAUCACUAUCUGUGUAUAACCAGUUUUGAUGUGUAGAGAAUACCAAAAUCAAGUAUGCCUUUGAUGUUUCUCAGGAUUCGCUUUGCAGCUUGUAGAUGAAACUGUGUAGGAGACUCUGCAUAGCAACUGAUAAGCCCAACUCCAAACAUAAUGUCAGGUCUUGUAGUUGUUAGAUACUGAAGGCUUCCAAUUAUCUGCUCGAAAUAUGUUGCAUCUACCAAUCCACCUUCCUUCCUUACUCAACUUUAAUCCGGUCUCAACCGAAGUACUAACUGGUUUGGCAUUCUCCAUCUUGAAUCUUAGAAGUACCUCAUUUGCAUACUUCUUUUGGGAAACAAAUAUCCCAUGUUCAUUUUGAUGAACUUCAUGACCCAAAUAAUAGACCAGAAGACCCAUGUCGGUCAUCUCAAAUUCUUGAACCAUGCAACUCUUGAAUUCUUCAAUCAUAGUAGAACUAUUUCCAGUGAAGAUCAAAUCAUCAACAUAUAAGGAAACAAGUAAUAGAUCUCCAUACUCACUUUGCUUAAUGUGGAAAGUAUGUUCAUAAGGACACUUACGAAAUCCUUGUUCUUGAAAGUACUUGUCAAUGGGAGUGUACCAUGCUCUGGGGGCUUGCUUCAAUCCAUAAAGUGCUUUCUUCAACUUAUAGACUUGAUCUUCAUAUCCUUUUUUUCAUAUAUCCUAGAGGUUGUUCAACAUACACCUCUUCCAAGAUCCCAUUUAGAAAAGUGGACUUUACAUUCAUCUGAUGAAUCUUCCACUUGUUUUGAGAUGCUAAUGUAAUCAUGAGCCUCACAGACUCCAUUCUUACAACUGGGGCAAACACUUCAUGAUAAUCCACUCCGAGCUUCUGCUUGUACCCUUUUGCCACAAGUCUAGCUUUGUGUCGAUCUACACUACCAUCUGGCUUGUACUUUGUCUUGUACAGCCAUUUAACACCAAUAGCUUCAUGCCCCUUCAGAAGUUUUGUCAACUCCCAAGUAUGGUUCUUCUCAAUCGCCUUAAUCUCUACAUCCAUGGUUUUUUCCACUUUAGAUGAGUAGCAGCUUCUUCAUAUUUGAUUGGAUCACAAUCAGCAAACAUGAUACAGUGAAUCAACUCACUAUCAUCAUCCUUCUCGGGGACUAUUUAAUCAAGUACAUAGUCGCUGUAUCUAGAGGGCAUCGCAGUUGAUCUUGGAGGAUUUCUUCGAACACUCGGUGCAGAUGUGGGUGUAGAUUCUAGAGAGAAAGAAUUAGAAGAGGGUAAUGGAGAUGUUGAAGGAGGAGGGUUUAGAGUUUGCUGACCUUGAUCUUCUUUUUCUUCUUCAAGAUUAAUGUACACGCCAUGAUUUUCCUUCUCUUCUUUCGUCCACUCUCAAGUUUUUGUCUCAUCAAACUGUACAUCUCUACUAUUGAUCACCUUCUCCGUGGCCGGAUUGUAAAGCUUGUAUGCCUUCAUAUUUUUAGCAUAGCCUAUAAAGAUGCACUUUACACCCUCAUCAUCCAACAUUCUCCUUGGUUGCUGGGGAAUGUGUGCAUAUGCGAUCAAGCCAAAUACUCAUAGAUGACCUACUACUGACGGCUUCCUUUUACUCCAAGCUUCUUCAGGUGUCUUCUGUGCUAUACUCUUUGAUGGGUAUCUAUUUAGGACAUAUGUUGCACAAGCAAUUGCUUCUACCCAAAAAUAACUUGGCAUGUCUUUCUCAACCAACAUGCUUCUAACCAUCUCAACGAUGGUUCGAUUCUUCCAUUCUGCAACUCCAUUUUGUUGUGGAGAAUAAACCGAUGUCCACUAAUACACAAUGUCAUUUUCUUUGCAAAAAUUCUGACAUUCUCUUGAUAUAUACUCACCUCCUCCAUCAAAUCGCAGAUUCUUCACAUAUUGGCCACAUUGCUUCUCAGCUGAUGACUUAAAUUGACAAAACAUGCUAAAAGCUUCUGAUUUUUGUUUUAAAUAAUAAACCUAAAGCUUUUUUGUGUAAUCAUCAAUGAAAGUCAUGAAAUACAUGCUUCCUCCAAUCUGUGGACAGUCCAUUUCACACAAAUCUAUGUGAACAAGUUCAAGAGGCUUUGUAGCUCUAAUGGACUUGCUACUUGGGAAGGGAUCUCGAUACUGCUUUUCCAGGAUGCAAGACUUAAUUUGGAUGAUGUAUAGUAGGCAACCCUUUCACCAUCUUCUUCCUUGCCAGCAGCUUUAGACCUUCAAAAUUCAAAUGCCCAAACCUCAAAUGCCAUAACCAUGACUCAUCCUGGAUUAUGGUUUUGAAACAUGGCAAAGCAUCAUUUUGAAUCUUCAAAGGGAACAUGUGAUUCUUCAUUAUUGGCACCCUUGCUAUCAAAUUGUUCUGCUUGUCCUUCAACUCAUAAACACCCUUCUCGAUGUAUAUCACAUGUCCCUUCUCUUGAAAUUGACCAAUACUCAGCAGGUUGCAUUCCAACCCUGGUACAUAGAACACAUCGGUGAUAAAAAAAGGAUCAUUGUUGCAUGCUCGAAUCAAGAUCUUCCCCUUUCCUUUUAUAGAAAUCUUUCGAUCAUCUCCAAAUUUCGCCAUAGAGGUGAUGCUUUCAUCUAGCUCUAAAAACAUCUCUUUCUUUUCGCACAUAUGAUUGAUGCACCUUGAAUCUAAAUAUGUUGCCCAAGGUGACAAGCUAAGAGAGGGGUGAAAUGGUUCUUCUAAAUUUUUAAUUCCUUAAUUGAGUUAAUUGAUGAGUGAGUGAUGGUAGUAAAGUUAAAACAAUACACAAUGCAAACACACAAGAAGUAUAGUGGUUCGGUGCUCUCCUAAAGUAUAGUUAAUCUAAAUAUCUCUUUGUCGGGCUCACCAACAAACCUUUACCGUUGGUUUUACGGGUUCACCAAUAAACCUACAUCGUUGGUUUUACGGGCUCACCAACAAACCUUACAAAUUGAUUAAGAAGAAGAGAGUUGAAACUCCUAAAUGAGCAAAUAUAAUAAUUAUGAGCUACAAAGAAGAUUUUAGAAUAUAGUUAUCGCUUUGACAAGGCUCUCCUCUUCUUUGUCAAUAUUGCUUCACUCUUCAAGAGUUGGUGAAGCUCUUAAUGUCUCUUUUAAUCUGCUCAACCACUUCCUUUUGGCCCUUUGAAUGUAGCACUUGAUUGAAGAAGGCUAGGGCUUGCUUUUUUUUUAAUUGAACUUUAAUUUGUUUUCAAAAGAUUCUUUUCUCUGAUAAAUAGUGUCACUUUAAAUACUUUCCCACAUCUUUUGGUCACUCCUCAUUGGUCAGAUUUGAAAAACUAUCCGUUACUAGCCAUUGGGAGGUCAAAAAGUAUUUCUGCAGAACUAGCCGUUAUGCCUCUGUCCAUGCUGGGGUCGACCCAAGUUUUUCUGGGGUCGACUCAACUUACUGUGCAUCAGACUUGGGGUCGACUCAACUUUCUCUGGGGUCGACCCCUGCAACAGUGGGGUCGGCCUUCUCAGGAAUCACAGAACCUUGUAUUUCCGAUUGUUCUCACUGGGGUCGACUCAACCUAUCUUGGGGUCGACCCAAGCUACAGUAGGGUCGACUCAAACUCCAUUGGGGUCGACCCUCUCAGGGAUUUCAGAGACAUGAUUUUUGAGCAUAUAUCUUUGGGGUCGGCUCAUGUUCAGUUAGGGUCGGCUCCAACUGGGGUCGGCUCAAGGAAGCUUGGGGUCAGCUCUCUCAGUAAAUUUCAGAGAGUUGUUUUCUUGAGGCUUGAAGCUGGGGUCGACUCAAUGUUCUUUGGGGUCGGCUUCACUCCUGGGGUCGACUCAAGUAUACAUGGGGUCGACUCCACUUACUGUUCAUCUGUGCCAUUUUUGCAAAGGUGUGCUAGAUGGUUCCAUGAUGUGCCAGGGUCAACUCCACUUAUGUUGGGGUCGACUCAUUCCACACUUUGCUGCAUCUUAAGGUUAGACUAAUCUAUAUAAUCAAUGAAAUAUAUUUCAAGCAAUUUUGAGUGUAUGCCACGGUAGUGCUGCAUACUCUUAACAAUAAAAAUUAUUGUUUUUCCCUUAAGAGUAUAUUUCUCUUGAAACCUUGCUAAAUUAGAAUUAAGAAUUCUCUAUCCCCUUUUUUAUUACAAAUUUUAUCUCGUUGUUAAUCAUUGAAAGACAUCAUGAUCUUAUUCUCUUAAUGUAUCGAGGGUGUCGUAUUCAUUAAUGAUGUAUCACGUUAAAUUAUAUUAUUGAUUUGAUAUUUCCUCAAUGGUUGUGUCAAUCAUCGAAAUAACACUAUCAUCCUCAAAAUACCAUGUGCUGCUUUCACAAACCUCUGCUACAUUACAAACAAGUAACAUAGGAGAGCUUGAAUCUUCCUUCUUUUCAACAAAAUUGGCAUUAUUCUCCUCAUCAGCCAUCUUCUUCUUGCACUCAUACCGAUAGUGGCCAUAUUUGUUGCAGCAGAAACACUUGACUUGUGAUUUGUUCUAUUGGUAGCUUGUAUCUCGACCACACGCUCUUCCCUUUGAUGAAGUGCCGCUGUAAUACUUCUCCUGGUUGACCACAGCUGCUUCACCACGACCUCAUCCUCAACCAUGACCACGGUCGGCGCCUCGUCCUUCUUUCAAUCUUCUAUCAAAUCUAUCACCUAUCACCAAUUGAGCUUUGAGAGACUGCUCAACUGAUGAUGACGAUCUCUGACUGAGUCGUUGCUCAUGUGCUUCCAAUGAACCCAUGAGCUCUUCAACGGACAUCUUUUCAAUGUCCUUGAACUUCUCGAUUGUAGCUACAAUACGAUCGAACUUAGGUGGAACGGUUCUCGGGAUCUUCUCCACGAUCCUCAAAUCAGUGAUUUCUUCACCGUUCAUCCGCAUCUUGUUUGCUACGGCAAUCACUUUGCCAAAAUACUCUGAUAUAGACUCUAUGUCUGUCAUCUUCAAUCCUUCAAACUCUCCUCUCAAAGUUUGAAGGCGCACCUUUUUCACUCAAUCUGCACCUUUGAAGCUCUUCUCCAAAAUAUCCCAUGCCUCUUUUGACGUGGUAGCAUUCGUGAUUCGCUCCAGCACGACUUCAUCGACAGCUUGAGAAAGAAAGAACAACGCUCGGCUAUCUUUCUUUCGCGCCUCCUUUAGGGCAUCCUUCUUGGCUUGUGGGAGUGCCUCGUACUCUGCACCAGCUACAUCUGAAAAGCCGGUCUCCACAAGAUCCCACAUAUCUUGAGAUUUGAAGAGACAUCGCAUCUGGACCUUCCAUUGAUCGAAGUUCUUCCCGCUAAAUCGAGGCAGUUGAAGCUGGAUCAUACCGUUAUUUGAUGCUAUGAUCUAGUCUUGAUCUCCACCAACUCUCUCUUGCUUGCAGCCAGAUAUGCUGCCUACGAUCUCGCGCCCUAGAUCUUCCGAGGCUCUGAUACCACUGUUAGGAAACAACAUGCCUCUAGAUUGGCCUCUUUGGAGAAGUAGAAUUAGUAGAGAAGAGAGAGAGAGAGAAGAAGAGAGAGGAAUUGAGAAGCUACGUUGAGAAUUCAAUUCAGUCUAAAAGAACAUACGUUGCUUGCGAAGAGGAACUAGCCACCGCAUACCACAUAUAUAGCUUCAGUUCCCAACUCUAAACAAAUUCUAUUUCAACUGAGUCACUAUCAAAGACACCACUUCUAAUAUAAUUCUAAUCCAAUCUAAACUAAUCCAAUCACUAACCUAAUAAAACUCACAAACAAGUAAGAACUCUAGCCAAAACCAACUCCUAAUCACUUGACUUCUUAUAUUGGUUUACUUCCAACACCCCAACCGAUAGAGCAGCACGGGAACAUGUCUCCUUAUAAAGACUUCGUAUCGCCCUUCCUUCAUCUUAUCUUGAAAGAAAGUAAGAGAAGAUGGAUGAGUGUCGCGUAAGGUUGUGCACAUAUCCAUGCUCAUGAGAGGCAUCGUCUGCCAUGUUGAAAGCAGAGAAUGGGGAGACUCUAUUAGUGCUUAUGCUCUUUUUAUUGGACAUCCAGUACACUAAUGGAGAUCAUGGUCUUGAUUGGAUGAUCGCCUGAUUGUUACUUGAGUUAUCAGGACUCGAAAAAUGGACUUACAUAAAAUAACAUAUUGCAUUAAUGUUAGUUUUACUUAUAAAAUGAACUUGGCAAAACUUUAGCAAUGCUGUUCCAAGAAAUUACUUCAUCAGUGAGGAUGGGAAGGCCUCUCCUAAAACUCUCAUAAGUCUUCUUUGAUAUGACACCUUAGUAGAGUGCCAUUUUCCCCUCUGGGGAUAAGAAGUUAGACAUGCAUUCCCGCAAUAGACUAUAUAAUUUGAAUCUAGGAAUACGGUUCUUAAAGAGAAUAGAGUCCCCUAUCACAAAUUUUGCUACCAAAAUAAGUUUAAUCAGUUGAAGUUUGACAAAAUUUUUACAAACACUCAACCUCACAUCAACCUUCCGAGAACUGGAUCAAAUUUCCAACCCAAGCAACCUAGUAUGAACUAGGAAUUGCAGAACGAUAUCUGAGAAGAAUUAACCUAAUCAUUUACAAAUAUAAGUUGGGUCUAGACUUGGGAUGUUAAUUAAUAGGAUAGAAUUGAAUAGACUUGGGUCUAGAAAAGAAUUUCUCAACCUCGCAUGAACCUUCCGUGAGCCAGAUCAAAUCCCCAAUCCAAGCAACCUAGUGCGAACUCGGUGCCAAGGCUUCGAUAGAAUUGCAGAACGGUGUACGAGACUUGGGAUGUAAUAAAUAGGAGGGAAAAGAAGCAUGCUAAAUUAUGAAAAAAAAAAGUGUAUUCUAAACUAAUCAAUACUGCAAGAAUAGUUGCAUGUCAUCAAUUUGUGAUGAUCUAAACCCCCGUUUGUACUUCAGCAUCAGUAAUCAAACAAAAUUACCCAAGCCUUAACAGAUCCUCGAGUCUAUGGUUGCUAAUUAUUAUAAGAAAAGUAAAUCUAUCAGAUAAGACCAAGUGAACUCCUAGAGCUGGAUAAGAUAAGGAUCGAAAUGCAUGUGUUCAACCUCAAGGCCCUUCAAUACUGAACCCCAAAAGACAUCCCGAAAAAAAUGAGUAGACUCAAAUAGGACCUACAAUUCCAACAGAACAUGUGGAAUAGCUUAUGGCAACCAAAGCCCACCGAGGUGAUCAUCCUCAUACAUUUCUUAGUACGCGGUUUUUUUUUUUCUGAUGAAGUUUCUGAUCUACAUUGCGGUAAAUUGCUUCAAAGCAUAUAUUUUUGUAGUACAACCACAAAUCCACAAGCAACAAAAAUCUCUAGAUUUAGCGUUGUGGAAGCUUAAUAGCUUUUUUUUUUGGUGAAAAAAAAAAGCUUAAUAGCUUUGAUGCUACUCAAACUGGAAAGAACAUGAUCGAGAUUUCGGAACUCGAUGCAAAACAACAGAGUUCCCCAAUGCAAUCUCUAGUCUCUUCCAUGCCAAAAGUUUGUUUUUCCCCCUUGGUAGUGCCCCUGUGAGAAUCUUUCGGCCGCUAUCUCUUCAACUUUGAGAAUCCAAUGCAUCAACUUUGAUGUUGCGGGGAUUCAAAAACUCGUUUUUUAUCUGACGGUGUGUGAAAUCCACUAACAGAGACAUGAGAUCCAAAAGAAUAUAUGUGAAAUUUGAACUAAAACAUGUAAAGAACUGAGGGGAGAAGCAGGAGGAGGAGAGAAUCAACUUAGAUUGAUGUUCUAGUUUUCUUUCUCAUUCAUCGAAUCAGAUAGAUAUCCUUUUUUACAAAGAAGAAAGAAAGGAGAAGAUCAGAGACAAACCCCAGAUCCGACUCGACACCAUCCGAUCCUGAAACCUCUACCCAUCUAAAUAGAGUUCGUUAUCCAAAGCCAAGUCCCAAACCCUCAUACAAAAUGAUCAGAGGGUGAAAAAGAAAAAAAUAGAUUGUAGGGAAUUAUGAAAAGAAGAGAUAGAGAAGAAAAGGAAGCAAUUCUAUUUUUUCUUUCCUUUCUUUUUCUCUUUCUUCUCGGCCGUGGCAUCGAGCAUCAGAGACGGAGCGUGGUGGCGUGGAAGUCGUCGUCGGAGGGAGGGAGGAGGUUCAGAUCGAACGGCAGCGGCUGCCGGAAGGCGGAGGCGAUGUCUCCGUCGUCGAUGACGGAGGAAGAGGAGCCGCAGUCGCUGUGGCAGUCCUGAUCGCCGGAAAGGACGCGGGGCGGUGGCGGCGGCUUGGCCCGCCGCCGGAGAUGGGAGUUCGACCGGACGGGGAGAGGCGGCGCCGACAGCCGGGGCCCGCUGAAGGACUCCACGGUGCUGCUCAGGCUGCUGGACGUCGGCCGGUGCGGAGGCGGAAGAUCGGGAGACGAGUCUGGAUCAUGGUGGUGGCGGUGGUGGUGGGGGAAGGGAAAUCCGGCGACGGGGGCGACGGCGGUGGAGGAGGGGAAAGGAGGGGGAGGGGGGAGGGGGGAGCCGGCGGGGAGGGGGAAGUUGGUCUUGGCUUUGGGGCCGCGGAGGGCGCGGGCGGCGGCAUCGUAGGCGCGAGCUGCAUCCUCCGCGGAGUCGAAGGUGCCGAGCCAGACGCGGCUCUUCUUCCAGGGGUCCCGGAUCUCCGCCGCGAACCGCCCCCACGGCCGCUUCCUCACGCCGCGGAACCGCGCCUCCUUCACCGAUCCGGCUCCUCCCGCGGCCGCCGCCGCCAUCGCUGUGGUCCCCGCUGCCCGCGCCUUUCUCAUCGCCGACCGGGACGAAAGUCGAUAUAGAUGUGGGAAGGCAGAGCAAUGGAGGGGAGAGAGAAGAGAGAUUUAAGGGGACAGGAAUGGAGUCCGCUUCCUUGCUUCUCCUUCCAAGAAUGAUAAAUAUUAAGAGGAGAUCAGGAGUCUUGAUCUCUCUCCAUCUCUUUCUCUCUCUCUCGCUCGCUCGCUUCCUCGCGCCCCCACAAACCGACUUGAUUGCUUUCUUCUACCACCCCUCGCCUUUUCCUCUCCCCUUCCCUUCUUUUAAAAAUUUUCUUCUUCUUUUGUGGUCACCCCAAAAUGACCAAAACACCCUUGUCCAUUUUUUUCUCUCUCCGUUCUCCUUCCAACUGCCGCCGCAACGUGGCGUUAUUUUUCCUAAUAAUAAUUUUAUAUUAUUGUUGCGAUAAGAUCAGGAUUCGGGCGGCGUUAAAGGGCACGAAACGUCCAGGAAUCACGCCGUGCAGUCUCCGUCGGAGAUGACGGGGGCCAACGCGCGGACUAGUUGGCUCAGCUCAGAGGACGGGUCGGACGCUGGGAGCUGCUAUGCUGUCUCGCGGGUGAGUAUAACUAGAGGUAUGUUAAUGUAUGCAUGAUGCAGCCAAUAAAUCAGCAUUCUGCAAGCAUCUACAUGACUACAUGCAUGAAAUAAGUAUAGCACAAGACCCUUGUGAUUGGCAUCCCAUGAUCUUAUCUGCUGGCACUGUACGCAGAAACUUGUCUCUUUCUUGAUCUUGCGAGCUGGUAAUCUGAUGGCGAAAGUGAUGUGAAGCAUGGGCGUCUAAAUUUUCGUCAAAAGAGCUUUCCAAUUUCACCACCAUCUUCCCUGGUAUUUAGUAGUUAAAGUGCAACCGCUUAAUUUGAUUUUACCUUGAACUCCAGCAUUUCAUGAUAUUAAAUUUUCCUCAGCCUAAGGUUGGCGUGACAAUGGACUUGUUGGGAAAAAAUAAAUCGCCCCAAAGCACGUGAGCACGUCGCCAGCACGUGAUCAAAGGCGCCCGACCUGGAGGCGUCCGAUCUGGAGGCGCCCGACCCGGGCACCCGACCUCAGCGUCCUCGACCUCGGGAGCCCGACCUUGCUACCCACCUGCAGCGGUCACAUCCCUCUACAGCUCAGCCAAGGACCAUACCCUGCCACCGCUGUCAACAAUUAAUGCGCAUGGCCUCUGCAGACCUCCGGCUCACUCAGCAAUUAAUGUGCAUGUUAUCUACGGAUCUCAAGCCCUUCACGGCAACAGUUAACCUACUCGGUCACGUCCGAUCAGCCACGACGACUUACUGGCUCCGGCCUGAUCUCCUACGGCAAUGCAAUAAUUCACGCGAUCGUGCAUUAAUUCGGACGACAUGCUCAAUUAUGACUAUAACCCGCUUGCCCCGUCACAUCGCAGGUACACCUAUAUCCCUCUAUAAAAGAAAAACCCCCCUCCUUAGAGGAGGUUGGACUCUGAAACUCAGGACACCUAUUUCCUCCAUCCUUCUACACAUUAGCCCCCUCUGACUUAAGAAUCGGAGGGCCGGCGCUGGAAACCCCGGCCACCGGCUUUUUGCAGGCCCCCCGGAGGACGCCACCCGCCGACGAACCGCCACCCGCCAAUCCUUGCCGAAGCUCCUCUUUUUCAGCCGAGCGGUCAUCCCCGGGUCCAAAUUCCAGCAACAGUUGGUGCUAGAGGAAGGGCCCGAGUUGUGGCCAUGAAGCUGAGAAGUAAAGGAGCCUCUAAUGCCUCCCGGUGUCUCCCACCAAGUCCUGGACACUCUGUCCAGAACUCACCGUCUCUGGCUGCUCUGGUUCCCCAAGUCCAGCCGGAACAGUUCAAUAUCCUGGUGCAGCAAGUCCAAGCCUUGGCCACGGCUGUCUAGGGCCUACAGCGCGACGGAGCCCCACCUAUGCCGCCUCUGCAGGCCCAAGUUCAGCCAGUGCUUCCUCCGAAAGGACCAGUGCCCCAAGGCCAAAAUCUCCAUGGCUCCUCAAGGGCUAAUAAUGAAGAACGAUGCUGUCACCAAGGCUCAACCUGGACGUCUCCCCGGAGAGAAAUGCAGGGGAGGAGCAUAAACCGAAGGCCGCAGCCUUCGGAAGCUGAGUUAGCUCCAGACCGCCACGAGCCGGAGCAGACUACUAUGACAAUCCCCCAGGCUGGAGAGCUCGACAGGAAGGUCGAGCACCUGGAGCGCCAGAUUGAAGCGCUUCAUAGCAGGAAGGCAAGGCGCGAGGGUGACUUUAAGUUUACCACCAAGUUCCCUUUCCUGCCAGAUCGAGAACGAGCCGAUCCCACCGAGGUUCAAAAUGUCCCAAGUGGAGCCCUACAAUGGAACCACCGACCCCCUCGAUCAUUUGGAAAGUUACCGAGCCCUUAUGGCAUUGCAAGGAUCCUCGGAAGCUGUGCUCUGCAAGGCCUUCCCAGCUACCCUUCGGGGAACCGCUCGGCUUUGGUUCUCUGGAUUGAAGCCGAGUUCGGUGUUCUCUUUCGAGCAGCUCGGCAGGCAGUUCGCCACCAACUUCGCUGCCAGUCGUCGCCAGCGGCGAACAUCGGAUUUUCUCCUGGACGUCAAGUAGAAGGAAGGGGAAUCCCUCAGAGAAUACCUCGACCGCUUCACCGCUGCAACCUGGGAGGUCCACGAGCUCGACCAGUCAAUAGCCAUGUCGGCACUAAAGAUUGGGGCUCGAUCCUACAGAUUCCUCUUCUCCAUCGAGAAGAGCUUUCCCGCCGACUUCACCGAAAUGUUGGCCCGAGCUCGGAAAUAUGCGAAGGCCAAGGAGGCUAUCGCCUCCAGUCGGGGCGCGAUCGAGCCGGCCUCAAAGAAGCAAAGGAAGCGCCGCGAGGAGCGCAGCCGCCCAAGAAGCCGAUCUCCCCGUCGAGAUAGAAACCUGCCUCGGCUGAGGAGCCCGCCUCGACAGCAGGGACGGCUUCGACCAAGGUCCCUGCCACAGCCUCGGAUGCACUCGGGGAGGUACGAGAACUACACUCCCAUCAACGCACCCCGGGCCGAGAUCCUAAUGGAGAUAGAAGGUCGGAACUUCUUCCGACCCCCGCCUCCGAUGCAGGAUGUGGGAGUUCCGCGUAACCCUAGGAAGUACUGACGCUUCCACCGGGACCAUGGCCACGACACGGAGGAUUGUUUCCAGCUCCGAGAUGAAAUCGAGGCACUUAUCCAUCGCGGGUUACUCAACCGGCUCGUGCGGAACCGACACGAGGAAAGGAGGCCAGUGGAAAAUGCCGCGCCGCCCGAAAAUCCAAAUGACAAUAGGCCUAUCGCUGGCACCAUCAAUGCCAUUGGAGGAGGAAGCUCGGCUGAAGAGCCAACCUAGGAAAGAACCCCUCCGAAGCGCCCGUGCACCUCCGAAACUAUCUCAUUCUCCGACGAGGACAUGGAAGGAGUUGAAACUCCUCAUGAUGAUGCUGUGGUCAUCUCCAUGAUUGUAAAUAAGUUUGAUGUAAAGCGUGUCUUAGUUGAUAAUAGAAGCUCAACAAAUAUUUUGUACUACCAUGCCUACCAAAAAAUGGGGUUAACAGAAAGCCAGAUUCGGAGAAUGAACGCUCCACUGGUCGGAUUUAUCGGGGACUCGAUUCCGGUUGAGGGCGAGGUCAGUUUUCUCGUCACAGUUGGGCUCGCCCCCCGAGAAAGUACGGUGAGGACGGACUUUCUUGUGGUCCGCCUGCCUUCGGCCUAUAACGCCAUUCUUGGACGACCAGGACUUAACGCCCUUCGAGCUGUGGUCUCGACUUACCACCUGCUCGUCCGGUUCCCCACCGACCAAGAAUAGGCGAAGUUCGGGGGGACCAGUUAAUAGCUAAGCGAUGCUACAUGGCGACCCACAAAGCAAAGCAAUCGGCUAAAGCACCAAGCCAAGAGGAGCCAACAGCCAGGGCAUCAAUUCAAGUAUCAGACCAGGCGCUCCCCAUCGAAACUUUGGUGGUGCGGGACAACCCCUAGAAAGAACGGGUAGAGCCCGGUGAGCUUCUUACCCAAAUUUCUUUACAAGAUGACUGUCCAGAGCUAACCGUGCAGGUCGGCUCCGGCUUGAGCUCCCUUAAAAGGGACCGCCUGAUCGAGUUCCUUCGGUCCAACAUGGACGUCUUCGCAUGGUCACCCGCCGACAUACCGGGAAUCGACCCUGAGGUCAUGGUUCACCGACUCCAGGUGAAGCCAACCUGUAGGCCCGUGCGACAGAAGAAACGGAGCUCUUCUCCGGAACGACAACGAGCAGCGGCCGAGGAAGUGGACAAACUCCUCGAGGCCGGCUUCAUCCGGGAGGUCUCCUAUCCAGACUGGCUCGCCAACGUGGUCCUUGUGAAGAAAUCCAAUGGAAAGUGGCGCAUGUGCGUGGACUACAUCGACUUGAACAAAUCCUACCCAAAGGACAGCUUUCCACUUUCCAGCAUCGACCAACUUGUCGACUCCACCUCGGGACACCAGUUGCUGACCUUCAUGGAUGCCUUCUCGAAGUAUAAUCAAAUCCGAAUGGCGCCAAAAGACGAGGAGAAGACAACUUUCAUCACCGACAAGAGCCUCUAUUGCUAUAAAGUAAUGUCGUUCGGGUUGAAGAAUACCGGAGCAACAUAUCAAAGACUGGUCAGCCAAAUCUUCAAAAAUCAAAUAGGCCGAAAUAUGGAGGUCUAUGUGGAUGACAUGCUGGUAAAAAGCCGAACGACCGAAGACCAUGUGGCUGACCUCAAUGAGACUUUCUCCACCCUCAGAAAAUAUCGAAUGAAGCUCAACCCUGCUAAAUGUGCAUUCAGAGUCACCUCGGAAAAANNNNNNNNNNNNNNNNNNNNNNNNNNNNNNNNNNNNNNNNNNNNNNNNNNNNNNNNNNNNNNNNNNNNNNNNNNNNNNNNNNNNNNNNNNNNNNNNNNNNNNNNNNNNNNNNNNNNNNNNNNNNNNNNNNNNNNNNNNNNNNNNNNNNNNNNNNNNNNNNNNNNNNNNNNNNNNNNNNNNNNNNNNNNNNNNNNNNNNNNNNNNNNNNNNNNNNNNNNNNNNNNNNNNNNNNNNNNNNNNNNNNNNNNNNNNNNNNNNNNNNNNNNNNNNNNNNNNNNNNNNNNNNNNNNNNNNNNNNNNNNNNNNNNNNNNNNNNNNNNNNNNNNNNNNNNNNNNNNNNNNNNNNNNNNNNNNNNNNNNNNNNNNNNNNNNNNNNNNNNNNNNNNNNNNNNNNNNNNNNNNNNNNNNNNNNNNNNNNNNNNNNNNNNNNNNNNNNNNNNNNNNNNNNNNNNNNNNNNNNNNNNNNNNNNNNNNNNNNNNNNNNNNNNNNNNNNNNNNNNNNNNNNNNNNNNNNNNNNNNNNNNNNNNNNNNNNNNNNNNNNNNNNNNNNNNNNNNNNNNNNNNNNNNNNNNNNNNNNNNNNNNNNNNNNNNNNNNNNNNNNNNNNNNNNNNNNNNNGUGUACUGCUUGCAAGAGGUACUAUGGGCUCUUGAUGCUACGGACUGAAUGCAACUGAGCCGGCCUUGCUAGUGGCCGAGAAUGAUUGAGCCGGCCCCGCCAGUGGCUGAUAAAAAACUGAGCUGGCCCCGCCAGCGACCGUUAAUGAAUUUGCCGUAGUAUCCAAGGGGUACUACUUGCAAGAGGUACUAUUAAUGGGCUAUUAGAUGCUAUUGAUCGAAUGUAACUGAGCCGGCCUUGCCAGUGGCUAAGAAUGACUGAGCCGGCCCCACCAGUGACCGAUAAUAACUGAGCUGGCUCCGCUAGUGGCCGAUAACGACUUCACAGUAACAUCUGAGAGUAUGAACCACGGUAUGCCGGGGGUACGGUUUUUACGAUAUAUAUUUUUAUGAAAAUUCUUGAUGACAUAAAACACUAAUUUAUUUUCUCAGUAUAAAUGUUUUAUCAUGAUGAAUUGUUAGGUAGUGUACAUGUCAGCUUCUCAAACCCUGUUAAACAUGUUUAGCAUUAUAGUUGAUCCAAUAAGAUUAUGCAGGAUUACUAAAGAUGGGCAUCGGGCCGUGCCGGGCCCGGCUUGGCCCAGGCCCACCGGGCCACAGACCAAACGGGCCGUGCCUGGCCCGGCCUGUUACUAAACAGGCCGUGCCUGGCACGGCCCGCUUAACCUAAAGGCUAAGCCCGGCACGACCCUAGGCCCGUGGGGUGGCGGGCCGUGCCGGGCUCGGUGCGGGCCGUGCCGGGCUCGGCACGGGCCGUCCCAGAAGAGUCUUCUGUUAAGUCCAGAAGAGUCUCAAACACCCUUGUGGAAGUAGGGAUAAACGCCACUCCCCAUUUUGAGUAAUUUUAGCAACAGAAAUGAGCUCUCCCUCCAAUUCAAGGUGAACUCGUCACUAGCCAGCUAGGUAACUCAGCCCUCUGUCAAGCCAUGGAGCACUCUGGAGUACAGAGCCCAUCCCUAACACUUCUUUUUAUGAGACCAGAAACUACAGUGACAGGGGCGGUGGUGGUGGUGGAAGGGAAAUCCGGCGACGGGGGCGACGGCGGUGGAGGAGGCGAAAGGAAGGGGGAGGGGGAGGGGGGAGCCGGUGCCGAGGGGGAAGUUGGUCUUGGCUUUNNNNNNNNNNNNNNNNNNNNNNNNNNNNNNNNNNNNNNNNNNNNNNNNNNNNNNNNNNNNNNNNNNNNNNNNNNNNNNNNNNNNNNNNNNNNNNNNNNNNNNNNNNNNNNNNNNNNNNNNNNNNNNNNNNNNNNNNNNNNNNNNNNNNNNNNNNNNNNNNNNNNNNNNNNNNNNNNNNNNNNNNNNNNNNNNNNNNNNNNNNNNNNNNNNNNNNNNNNNNNNNNNNNNNNNNNNNNNNNNNNNNNNNNNNNNNNNNNNNNNNNNNNNNNNNNNNNNNNNNNNNNNNNNNNNNNNNNNNNNNNNNNNNNNNNNNNNNNNNNNNNNNNNNNNNNNNNNNNNNNNNNNNNNNNNNNNNNNNNNNNNNNNNNNNNNNNNNNNNNNNNNNNNNNNNNNNNNNNNNNNNNNNNNNNNNGAUCUCUCUCCAUCUUUUCUUUCUCUCUCUCUCUCUCGCUCGCUCGCUCGCUUCCGUAACAGAAUUGGUGGAUUUUCAAUUUUCCAGUUGUCAAUUCAUAUAGGUCUUUCCCCCAUGGUGUUCUCUUACCUGGACUGGCAGAGGAGUUGAAUUGACUUGAUUGUCAAUUCAGGCCCUUAUGGGCCAUUCCGAGCUGGCCCGCGGGCCGUGCUGUGUUUGUCCCAUGAAUCGUGCCAGCCCAGGCCCUUAUGGGCCGUGCCGGGCUCGGCCCGCGAGUCAGAAAUCCUUAACCCAGCCCGGCCCCUUUUUAUAAGCCAUGCCUAGCACGGCCCGUUACUGUAGCAAGCGGCCCGCUUCGUGCCGGGCCGUGCCGGGCCAUGGGCGGUCCGGCCCAAUGCCCACCUCUAAGGAUUACUUACUGAACCGUGUAGCUCAUACCCGUUCAUUUAUAUUUUCUUUCAGAUCACCACCAGUGAUAGCAGUCAGAGACACUGUUCUUUUGUAACAGGGCUUCUUUCUUUUUGGGGUGAAACAUAUAUACUUUUGUGUACAUGUACUGUAUAGAAGCACUGUAUUUUAUAACAACCAGCAAGUUGUACCGAAAAUACUUUAAUAUAUGAAAAUUUGACUGUUUUGGCUACUUGUUACCAAUGUAUGGGGCUUUGUGCUAUUGUGGACGGUAGUCGGCAAUAGCAUGGCCGUGUCACGGAUCCAGAUCCGAGGCAUGACAGGAACCUAAUUUAACCAAAUUUUAUGAUUGUACCAUACCGAUGCCGACCGGUACCCAGUACGGUACAGGCUGAAUCGGUCGAUUCCGACCGAUUCAGCAGACCUUGAUCAAACCCAACUUGAAAUAACCCGGGUGGUGCUUAUAAAGCCUUUCCGUUUGCCUAUGUACAAAUUAAACUACAUAAAAUUACUUUUAUUAGCAAAAUGGACCUUGAGAUUGGUUAACGCUAACAUAUGAGCUCAUGAUUGUUUUUUUCAUUGUUUGGUGGAACCAUUAUAAGUUAGGGGCCAAAAUUAUUCCCAUCUUCUUUAGUAUUUUGGGUGGACCCAAUGUUGAAUUCAUUGACCAAAUCAAACACUCUGUAAGAAGGAUAUUAACUAGAGUGGUGAAGACUACUAGGUCAACCCACACCACGUCCUGGUUCAUAUGGAGAGUUAUAGAGAUGCUGUCGCCACCAUCCUCUGGCAUUAGCUUCUCCUUCACCCCUAUAUGAAGCAUCCUUUCCAUGACAUCUACUGUGAUAACAUGAUCAUCGACUUUGGUUCUUAUGCAAUCUUAAAAUUUACGUGCACGGGCUGCAAAGAUUUAACAAGUCUUAAAAUUCUUAUCCAGUCUCAAAAUCCAUACCUAGACCACUCCUGUAAUAAAUGCUGGGUUGUCCCUACUGCUCCUUUUUUCUUAAAAAAGAAAAGAAAAGAGGAUUAAAUUAGACUCUAUUUAUUGGGUCAUGUGACUCCAAUUGGUUUCUUGGAUCCCACUCAUUUGAGGCAUAUGCAGAAGGAUAUAGUUGUCAUUCUUUGCUAUUGAACAUGUGUGGAAUUUCUAGCUUUAAAUUUUAUUUUUUAUUCAAAUAAAUGCAAAACUCCAUGCGUUAGUUCUUUAUUUUGGUUCAUAAUUUAUGCUCCUUAUUAACAAUCUUGCACCAAAUUAAUUAUUUGAGACUUAAGUUCAACCAUCUGUUGUGGGAUAUAUGGCACAUGGUCACUACCUUCAAUGCUUGUUACAACUGACCUCUCCUUUCUCAAUAGCACUUCUCUGCCUUCUCAUUUUUAUUCUUUUGCUUUAGCUGAUCAUGCAAGCCAAAACUAUUUGAAUUUUGAGGAUUGUCCCUCUUUAUCCAAAAAAGAGAGUUUUGAGCAAAGCUAUAGUAUUUAUCUUAUUGGCUGACUACAAUAAGUGAAAUGUUAAUCUAUUUAAGGAGCUGAUCCAACAAAUAUGCACUUGUAACAUAGAAUAUGUCACUUGAGAUAAAGAAUAGUCAUAACAUGAAUUAUCAUUGCUAUCUACCCAAGGUAUCAAGCAAUCAUAACUUGCCUUUUUGAGGUUAAAACUAAAGAGUUAAGUAAAGUUACUCAAUUUCUGCUUCAUCAAAAUAUGAGAGUAUUAGUGAUGGUCAACCUAAUAUCACUUACAAGGCUGGAGUCAUGCAUGAAGGAGGAGCAUGAUGAUGAGCCGACUUAGAAUAAUUCUGUAGCUCAUGAAGACACAUUACCUCAACAAAGGUUCUUAUCCAAGAGCAAGCUAUUGACAAUAAGGUAAUCAACAGUGUUCGAUGAUUUAUCUAACAUGAGGGCAUGAUGAAAACAUUGUGCUUACACUAUCAGCUUCAAGCUGUCCCUGAACAUGCCAAGAAUCUUUUGACAAUGUGCAAUGUGCAUACAUGAAGACAUGCUCCCAUCAACAAUUAAGUGCAGUAAGGCAGGGAAGGUAGCAACGGGAGUUCUCAUCAUGAUGGCCCUAAACUCAAAUUAACAUACACAAUGAGACUAAAUGAUAUCAAACUGCAUACUUGGAGUCUUGGACUUCUUAUUGAUAUUUUGAUGGGGAGGUGUGGUCACUUUCACUUUGAUGAAUAUCUUUAGGAUUGGGAAUAUCUUCUAAGCCAGUCAGCUGGAAGGCUACAUUUGGAUUCGGUAACAUCACCAAGACUUUCUAGGUUUCUUCCUGUUGGACGUUUUUUUAGCAUUAUUCUGUUAGUGUUUGUGGUAUUUAUAAUGGACAAAUCAUUAAUCAAUUGGAUUCAUGAACCUGUUUCAACAAAUUUACUAGGCCCUGAAAAGACUUGCCCCAAAAUAUAUCUUUACCAUCAUUGCUUUUAGGUUAUUUGUGAUUUUAGUAUUUACUCUAAUGUUUCUAUACUUCUUAGGCGUAGGUCCUUCAAAGAACUGUGUAUAAAGCAAAGCCUGUAUGUUGCAACAGUCUUCACAAUUGAAUGAAAUUUUUCAAGAUAAUACUGUUUUAGUUUUUUAUUAGUUUGAUUAUUGUGACUUCUGUUAGUUUCACAUUUAUACAGCUGUAUCUAGGCUUAGUUCAAGUUGGGAGUAUAAUCCUUGUCCAAGAACAGAGUUGAUAGUAGUUAGUAGGCAACUGGUUUACAUCUCAGUGGAAGUUUCAGAGAAACCAAAUUGAGAAACUGGUGUGAUUCUUGAGAAACUCGUUCCAAAACAUAAACAGGAAAAAAAAGCAUAGUUUUGGAAACCAGACUCCUAAAUCCUAAUGGAUUAGUGCUGAAGAAAAUGUCAUGACAAGGGGUGGGGGGUGGCGGGGGGCGCAGAGAGAGAGACCUGCUGUUGCCGCUUGCCCCUGCUUAUCAUCUACUCCAACCCACCACAUAGAGGUUUCAAUCCCAGAUGUUUUAAAACUAUAAGGGGAAAAGGGAGGAAAAACUGAAAUGAAGUUCUCCUUUAUGGUCUUGAUAAAACCACUUUCCAUUUCUUUGAUACAUUAAACUCUCUUUGUUUUCUUAUAGGAAGAGAGAGACCAAACACUCUCAAAAGAGAAGUUCCUUUAUAAAUAUCCAUAACUUCAGUUUUAGCUAUUUAUGAAAUUGAGUCCAACAUCAAAAACUAGUGAUGAUCCACUUGGAAACCAGUUUCUAAGUGGUUUUUGCGCAUGUGUUGUAUAAGCUAUUCUGUUUACUUGGUGACCAUAUUUCCCAUUUCCUGCAUUAGGUUAUUUUCUCAAUUAUCACUUCCCAUUCUUCGCUUUCAUAUCAUUUCCUGCAUCACUUUCCCCUAACAGCUUUGCUUGUGGCACCUCCAGUUAUCCCUUUAUAUAUUUUAGUUGUCCCUUGUCCUAUAUAUUCCAAUUUGAGUUGUCAUGUUGGUAGAAGACAUGGUAGCAUGAUCGAAUUCUUACUCACUGAUGCCUUCUACAACUAUUGAGCCAUCUAUUCAAGGUUCAUAGUCUAAAUAUUCUAUUUCUAAUUCAGGACUGGGACUCACAGAAUGCUAUGCAGAUUGCAUUACCAUUCUGUCAGGAAUUUUCCUGCUGCACAAGACAAAGGAUAUGGGCAACUCCGUCACCACAGAACCAACUAGGCUGCCUGAAUCCGAACUUCAAAACCAGUAAAUGUCUAUGCCAUCAUGCUUCAAAGAUUGUUGCUUCCCAGGAUCUGUUUCUUUGCACAAACUUUGACCUCAAAGACACUAAGAACCUCAGGUCCUUACAUCCAAAAUAAUGAUGGGGUUCACAAUUGGCUGGUACAUACAUUCUGAGGCCAGACUUUCUUCAGGGAUCUUGACAUGCUUUUAUUGCUUUCAAGAACCGUGAGGCUUAACUCUGCAGAUUACUUAAGAAGGAGAGCUUAUCACUUGCUGUGUUAUAAUAGGCAGACUAUUCUAUUCUACCAAAAUAAGAGAAGAAAAAGAAACGAAAAAAUGAUGUACAUAUGACUUCGUUUUUUUUUUUUUUUUUUUUUUUUUUGCUGUAAGGAUGAAACAUUUUACUUCCAAUUCAUAUCAUAGAAAAGCUGUUUCAGCAGACCAUCUACACCCUUAAAUUAUCAUGCAGCAAUUUUAGUACUAAAUUUUCUUUACAGGAUGGAUGGAUUGAUUGUAUAUAGGUGGAUCAAUCGAAGGCUGUCUCCGGGAUGCAUUGUCGACCAUUUGAGAACAUUAUAAGUACCGUCCUACAUGUAUUAAGAAAACAGACCCCACCUGAUGCAUCCAUUUGACAAAGAAGUCAUAAUUCAUAUUAUUUAUUCACUUCUUCUACUUAUUCCAGCUCCAUCUUGUUAGAUGUCUCUGAAACUAUAUAUGCAGCCUUGGCUUUUGGCAAACUUCUUUGCAGCAUAGGAAAUAGCAGAACAUAGUAGUGGAAAGAACCAAGGUUCAAGGACGAAUUAAAUUCAAAGUAUUGUAAUGCAGUUUGAUUUUAUUUUCUAAGUCAACAGCUUUAAUCAAUGAAUGGUAAAACAAGCUAGAGUUGCAUUUUGGUUGCAUUAUUGUUGUAUGCAGAAGAAAAAGAAUGUAAAGUUGUUUCAUGAAAAGAAAUAUCUCAGAUUCUACUAACGGAGGUUCAACAAAGAAGAUUUUGCUCUUUUUUUGAGAGAGAGACUUGGGAAUUCCUGAGAAUGAAUACCGUAGUGGAAGGUGGAAAUGUUUUUGGAUAGCUUAUUUCAUUUCUUGUAAUAACUAUACAAAUGGGAGGUUUUAAAAUUGGUCCUUUUAAGUUUUUUGUUUUGUUAUACCAAAAGGCUGUAUGAGUUUUUUUACUUAAAUUAGCUGUGAAGAUCAUCAUUGAAGGAUAAAAUAACAACCUAAAAAGAAUAGCUUAUUUCAUUUCUUAUAAUAACCAUACAAUGGGGAGGUUUAAAAAUUGGUCCACAAGCCUUUUGUUUUGUUAAACCACAAUGUUGUAUGAGUUUUUCCUAAAAUUAAAAGAAAAAACUAUGAAGAUCAUCACUGAGGUAUAAAAUAAUAACAUAAAACAAACCCCUCCAAUUAUUUUAAAAGUAAAAAGCCACUAGUUAAUAUCAUAGCUUGGGCAUUCCGCAGCCAUCCUACUCCAAAAAAAUUACAAUCAUGAUAAUAUGCUCUUUUUAUUUUCUCUUAUUUUUUACUUUUUAGAGUGAUGCUACUUGGCCAACUAUGUGUUAUUGACUUGCAACUCAAAAAGCUUAAAUUGUUGGAAGGAGGAUCAGCUCAGGCUAAUAAACCUAUGUGGCACCAUUUUUAUUAGUUAGUAUUGGACUAUGACAAGCUUUCCUACCCAAUCUCAUGAUGCCCUCAUCAUAAUUGGCUCCUACUCGAAAGAGGGGGGACCUAUCCAUUCUUCAGGAACUAUUCGACCAUACCGUAUCCUCCUCGAUCUUGAUAUCACCCAAUAAAGAGCCCAUAUGACUAAUAAAGAUUGUGAAGCAUGGACUUGGCUCUAAUACCACUUGUCAUGGAUUCAUGGUCUAAAAACUUAAGCUAUUAGGAGGAUUGGAUUAGGCUAAUAAACUCAUGUGGCACCCCUCUUAUUAGUCAAUAUGGAACUAUGACACAUGCCAUCUUACAACAGCUUGAUGAUAUAUGGCAUAAGUGAAUUACCAUGAUUUGCAAGUUUGAUGCAAUAUAUAGUGGAUGUAAUGUUACAUGAUCAUUGGUUGUUUUAUUUGUCAUAAAUUUCUUCAACUUUUUCUUCAAUAAUAUGCUCUUUUCAUUUCAUUUUAUUUUUGUAGUUUUUUGAGUGAUGCCACUAGGAGCAUGGAUGUAUGGCACAAGUGGAUUGCUGUUCAUGUACUAAACAGUGAAGGCAUCACAUAAUCAUCGGUUGCAUCAUGUGUCAUAAAAUUAUAUACUCUCUUUAUUUUAUUUUAUCUUAUUUUUUGUAUUCAUUUCUUUUAUUUUUUUAGAGCGAUGCUACUAGGCCAACCAUGGCACCCCUUAAUAGUUUUAUGACGUAUGACAUAAGUGGAUUGCCAUGAUUUAUAGUUUCAGUGUAAUACAUAGUAGUGGCAUCGUAUAAUCAUCAGUUUCCUUAUUUAUUAUAAAAUUUCUUCUUCUUCUUCUUCAAUUAUAUGCUCUUUUUAUUCUAUUCUAUUAUAUUUUUUAGAGUGAUGCUAUUCGGCCGAUCAUGACAUCCCAUAAGAACACUAUGAUAUAUGGCACGAGUGGAAUGUUGUGAUUUGUAGGUUUGGUGUUGUACAUAUUGGAAGCAACGUAUAAUCAACAACCGUCUUAUUUAUCAUAAAAUUUCUUUUCUUCUUCUUCUUCUUCAAUAAUAUGCUUUUUUAUUUUAUUUUUUAUAUUUAUUUUAUGGCAAGUUUGAUGCAAUACCUAGUGGAGGUGUCAUAUGAUUAUCAGUUAUCUCAUUUGUAUUAAAUUCCAUCUUCUUAUGCUUCAACUUCUUCAACGAGGCGCUCUUUUUAUUUUUUUCUGCAUUUAUUUUAUAAUAGGUUCAAUGAAACACCCCACCUAUAAUCAUCAAUUGCUUUAUUAAUCAUAAAACAGCUUCUUCUUCUUCUUCUUGUUAUUUUUAUAUUUUAUUUAUUUUAUAUGAUUUUAUUUUAUUGCAUCUAUUUUACGGCAAGUACAGUGCACUAAUGUGCUCAUUUGUCUUAAAAUUCCUUCUUCCUCCAAAACAAACAUCAACCCAUCAAAUGCCAAUUACUUUCAAGUGAGUCAUUAUUUUGUACAUCCAUAUUAAAUCUCGAGGCUAGGUGGCUCUCCGCACUCCCACCACAACACAUACUUUUUUCUCUCUUUUUCUCCAGAGUCCAAGAUUAUAUAGAUACUUCAUUUUUUUUCUUUUUUCUUUUUCUAUUUUAUCCUCACCUAGGUUGGAGUCUAGACCUACAGUUAAACCAAAUUACUGCUCAUGGAACUGGGAAUUUAUAUGUACAAAGAUCGAAGCGAGAGGGUUGACAACCUUCGAAACCAAACCCCACCCCUUCGAAACCAAACCGUCCAGACCAAGAUUCAGGAGUCAGAUGUCCUAAUCUUUCUUAAGUACCCUUCCACCUACUGUCGUCAUCUCUAUAAUUAGUUCAGUCUUUAUCAAGAUAUGCAGAACGGGAUCCAAUUUAGAAAAGGAGAUAUGUGCAGGGGCUACUAAAAUGAUGUCUCAUCUCACUGAAUGCAGCUGAACCUAGCAGAAAAACAGAUCUAGUUUGCCAUUCCAAAAGUACUACAGAAACAUAUUCCAAUCGGUGAAAUUUUCAGAAGUUUCAGUUGAGUUAAAUCUCAUCUGCAAAACAUUCUAUAGAAAUUUAAAUACAGUAUUGGGGUGAUAAUAAUUUGCCUGGAUUUGACAAGAACAGUAUGUUAUCCUCGCCGCUAGCGUUGUGAUGCUGUCCAGCUUUUGACUAGUUUGUCAAUUGAGCUAUUUUCAAGGAAAGAUAGUCGAAAUGAUAGCAACAAAUAUAGACCUCAAAGCAAGUCAGGGCACCAAUAAAGAAUUUAAACAAUAGUAUGCAAAGAUGCCUCAGAAAUCUCCUACAAAAUCUAGGUAGUUUAACAUAAACAACUAGUGCAUCUACAAUUUCAUCUGUCAACAAGUCACUUUUAAACUUACUGAGACAAUAAGAUAUUAACUGUCACGCCCCCGGCCCGAGAUCGCGAGUCGGGGGUCGCGCCAACCGCCGCACACCCGUAGGGAACUCUCCCAACGAGCAUGCAAGGCAUCUAAACCAAAUAUCUCAAAAUAUAUAUAACUAAAAUAAUUCAGCUGAAAUAAAUGCAAUCUUAUUCCAUUGACUGACACAAAUUAUAAAGUUUCACAGUUCUCAAUGCGCAGCGGAACAAUAAAAGAUAAACUUCUUCAAUUAUAUGCUCUUUUUAUUCUAUUCUAUUAUAUUUUUUAGAGUGAUGCUAUUCGGCCGAUCAUGACAUCCCAUAAGAACACUAUGAUAUAUGGCACGAGUGGAAUGUUGUGAUUUGUAGGUUUGGUGUUGUACAUAUUGGAAGCAACGUAUAAUCAACAACCGUCUUAUUUAUCAUAAAAUUUCUUUUCUUCUUCUUCUUCUUCAAUAAUAUGCUUUUUUAUUUUAUUUUUUAUAUUUAUUUUAUGGCAAGUUUGAUGCAAUACCUAGUGGAGGUGUCAUAUGAUUAUCAGUUAUCUCAUUUGUAUUAAAUUCCAUCUUCUUAUGCUUCAACUUCUUCAACGAGGCGCUCUUUUUAUUUUUUUCUGCAUUUAUUUUAUAAUAGGUUCAAUGAAACACCCCACCUAUAAUCAUCAAUUGCUUUAUUAAUCAUAAAACAGCUUCUUCUUCUUCUUCUUGUUAUUUUUAUAUUUUAUUUAUUUUAUAUGAUUUUAUUUUAUUGCAUCUAUUUUACGGCAAGUACAGUGCACUAAUGUGCUCAUUUGUCUUAAAAUUCCUUCUUCCUCCAAAACAAACAUCAACCCAUCAAAUGCCAAUUACUUUCAAGUGAGUCAUUAUUUUGUACAUCCAUAUUAAAUCUCGAGGCUAGGUGGCUCUCCGCACUCCCACCACAACACAUACUUUUUUCUCUCUUUUUCUCCAGAGUCCAAGAUUAUAUAGAUACUUCAUUUUUUUUCUUUUUUCUUUUUCUAUUUUAUCCUCACCUAGGUUGGAGUCUAGACCUACAGUUAAACCAAAUUACUGCUCAUGGAACUGGGAAUUUAUAUGUACAAAGAUCGAAGCGAGAGGGUUGACAACCUUCGAAACCAAACCCCACCCCUUCGAAACCAAACCGUCCAGACCAAGAUUCAGGAGUCAGAUGUCCUAAUCUUUCUUAAGUACCCUUCCACCUACUGUCGUCAUCUCUAUAAUUAGUUCAGUCUUUAUCAAGAUAUGCAGAACGGGAUCCAAUUUAGAAAAGGAGAUAUGUGCAGGGGCUACUAAAAUGAUGUCUCAUCUCACUGAAUGCAGCUGAACCUAGCAGAAAAACAGAUCUAGUUUGCCAUUCCAAAAGUACUACAGAAACAUAUUCCAAUCGGUGAAAUUUUCAGAAGUUUCAGUUGAGUUAAAUCUCAUCUGCAAAACAUUCUAUAGAAAUUUAAAUACAGUAUUGGGGGUGAUAAUAAUUGGCCUGGAUUUGACAAGAACAGUAUGUUAUCCUCGCCGCUAGCGUUGUGAUGUUGUCCAGCUUUUGACUAGUUUGUCAAUUGAGCUAUUUUCAAGGAAAGAUAGUCGAAAUGAUAGCAACAAAUAUAGACCUCAAAGCAAGUCAGGGCACCAAUAAAGAAUUUAAACAAUAGUAUGCAAAGAUGCCUCAGAAAUCUCCUACAAAAUCUAGGUAGUUUAACAUAAACAACUAGUGCAUCUACAAUUUCAUCUGUCAACAAGUCACUUUUAAACUUACUGAGACAAUAAGAUAUUAACACUAUAGGAAUGUACUAUGAAGACGUUCUGUAUGGUAAAGGUUACAAACAAAAGGAUAAAGCAUGACAACCUCGAGCAGCAUCAGUUCUAUAAUUGUAAUAGUUGGAGUUUCCAUGAACAAGUGUUUGCAAUCUUUAAAGUAAAAUACCACAGGACUAAGAUUAGUUAACUGCUGAUUGGGUAGUAUUGAGAAAGAUAGAACCAUAGCAGACCUUAGAAAUCCCCAAAAUAAACAUGUAACAUAAACAGACUCAGGUUACGAUAUGGCCCAAAAACACAACCCAGAAACACUAUGUAAAAUAUCACCUUAGAAAAUGAUCAACCUGUUUUCCUCUUUUUCCUUUCAAUAGUCAUGGGUACACUUCAUUAGAUCAUCAUGUAUUUAAAGAACAAGAGUAGUAAAUGUAGAAUAGCACCCCAUUCUCUUUCUCAAUAUAAUCCUGUAUCUCCAGGAUACAGAAUCCACAACACCUCAAAGACAAAGUUA